CCUCAAUCUCCUAUGUGGUUUUACUCUUGGAUUGUUGUUUGAGUUGGAGCACUUGCAAUUUUCUUAAUUUAUGCUUCAUUUGUUAUUGUUUCAUCGCCGAUUGGUGCCAGGUUCAUGGAUAUUUUUACAGUAUAGGUAGUUCUGAGAAGUUAGAUGGAUCCGGAUCUCCCAUAAACUAUGUUUUGAAUAGAAAAAAUUAUGAUUAUAACACGAUUUUGUUGAAACCACAUUGUAUAGUUUUUAAAAGAUCAGAGUGAUACCAAACAAUCACCAAGUACUGCAGAUGUGUAAGAUAUUGCAGUUGCAGAAUAUAUUUUCCCUCUAAUACAUAAUUUAUCAAAAAAAAAUCUAAUUCUAAUUAUUGAGUAAAAACUGCCGUAAUUUAACAAUUAAAAAAAAAGAAAGGAAUAUUCUAGGAUCGAGUCAAUAUAAACAACAUAUUGCCUAGUAAUUUUGCAUAAAAACAAGAGACGGUUUAAUAUUUUAGGGUUGAAGAUUGAUGAAAAAGUUGUACGAAGAUGAAGAUGAGGGAAGAAGAUGAAUAAAUAAGAUGUUGGUGAUACACACUUUAAAUCUGAUAGAUCUCAUUUAUCCAACGGUCUUCUUUUCUUGAGGGUUUAAAUGAAUAAAAUAGGACCAAAUUUAAUGAUGGGAAGAAGAUAAAUGACCAAUUUAAAACUUUUAAUAGUUAGAGGAUCAAAUUGAAAAUUGAAAAUAAGUUAAGGGACCAAAUGAUACAUUAAACCUUAAUUUGAUCACAAAUUUCUUUUGCCUUGUUGUGCUGUAAUAAAGAUUGCAACGGGUUUGGUUUUGUUUUUGUUGCUUUUAUUAUUGAUUAAUGUGUUGGCAAUUGCGGUGCAGAUGCAAAUAUUCAUAGAGACCCAGGGUGGAGAGAGGUUCCCCCUGAUGGUUAAGAGUUCAGACAGGAUAUUCAAUGUAAUGGAGAAGAUUCUUGAGAAGGAAGAUAUCCCAGUGCACAAUCAAUGUCUGAUCUUCGACUAUAGGCGACUAGAUUACAACCUGACAUGCUUGUGCUCCACCAAAUUGGGGACUAGAUGACCACUGCGUCAUCACCAUUACUACAUCCAAGAGCAGGCAACCAUCCACCUUAUCAUGAAGACAAUCAGCCUAUAAGUAGAAAAGUCAUACAUUAUUGAUAGCAUAGAGUCUUUGACUUUUGUUCUUUUUGUUUUGUCUUGAGCUGUAUAACUGGGGAUGAUUUUCAGCAAUUGAAGAAACAUAUUUAUUUUCCAACACUAGCUGAAAUCGUAUAAUAAUUCUCACAUAAAUAGAGAUACAUAACAAUAACAUGCAGUGACUCUUGCAGUAGAGUCUAAUUUAACUGAAAAGAGUCGAGUAAUUUGAAUUCACUCAUAUUUACUUUUCAACACUGCCUGGUUAAAGCUAUCUUUCCACCACCAUAAGAUAAACAGAAAAAAGCAUGAAUGAUAGCUUUGUUUCUUAUGUCAAGUUGUCAAAUAUAUCAAGCAUUAUGUUUCAGCUCAUAAUAGAACAUGUUUCAUUAAGCACAAUAUAAAUUUAGAAAUUGUUAAUGUUAAAUUAUUGUGUUAUUCAUUAGUGCAUAAAACUAACUUUGAUAUCAAAUUAUUGUGAAGAUGUCACAUUCUUCGGAUCUAUUGUAGCCUGUAGGUGCAUUUUAGGAUGCAACCAUCACAAGACCUAAAAUUAGCUAUGCAGUAAAUAAAGCCUUGGAUUAUAACAACAACAUUUUAAUCUUUACCAAGUCCAUCAAGAAUGGCUUCCAACCGAACACGAUGGGAAAUAGGAACUCAGUUGAAGGUAAAUAACAUGAGUAAUGACUGAAAGUUAACUUGAUGCUUAACACAAACAGUAAUUGAAGAGAAGAGUGUCAUAGUAUUAGAUUUAGGUUUACUUGCAUUUUUUUCCUCUUAUGCAAUUUUGAUCCGCCAUUUAAUAUUUUGAGCAAUUUUAAUCCUUUAUAUUUUCUCCUUUAUUAUUAAAUACUUUUAUUUUGGAUUGUGAUCGGCCAAAGUAUUUCUCUGCCUCAUCACCGUAAACUUCGACAAAAAUCGAGAAGGGACUACGAAAUAGAAAAACUUUUGAUUGAUCAUAAUUUCAAAUAAAAAAGUAUUUGAGCACACAUACACAAAAUUAAAUAUGUAUUAAUUAUCGUAAGAAACACGUCAUUUAAAUAUUUUUUUCUUCUAUCUUUUAAUUUUUCUGAAUAGUUGUCUAAAAUCUUAUUAAACAAAACUUCCUCGAUCAUACAUCAUUUAUUGACAUACAUUUUUCUUUUUUUGUGGUGUCUGAGGUUCGAACCCCAAAUCUUGUAUAUAUUAUGCAUUGUCCUUCCCAACUGAGUUAAGCUUACGAGACACAUGACACUCAAUUCUUAUUACCAACCUAGCAUUUCUUUAAAAUUAAACAUUAAAAAUGACAAAAAGUUUAAAACCCAAUUGAGGGAUUUCAUUUGCACUCACAUAAAUGAGUUAAUUUUUGGCGUAUUUUAUUAUUAAAUUUGUUAUGAAGUCCCUCAAUGUAUAUAACAGUUAGGUGCUACAUGAAUAAAUAAUGUCUCGUUAGUGUUAAUUUCGGAGGAAAUUGGAAGGAGAAUGCCAAAUCACAAUAAAAAAAGAAAAAACAUGAGGCCAAAGAAAUGUAUACAUACAGAAACAGUUGAUCCAAAAGUACAUAAAGUAUAAAGUUAGUUGAUUUUCUUCGUAUGCAAGACCGUAUACAAUACGUAAUCUUCAUUUCGCUUCCUUCCUUCACAAUCUUACAUUACAUUACACCAUUUUAACCAUUUUUCCCGCACACACAAAUCACAAUCACUUCUCUUCUCUCUCUCUCUCUCACUACAAUAGAGAAAAGAGAGUGAAACCAAACCACACUACACGACGUCGUUUCACAGAUCCAUCCCCAAGACACAGAGCUGGAUCCCUCACAAGAUCCCAAACAAUAUCAGGCUCCACCUGCCACCACAUCCAACGGUCACGGUCAGAUCCGUUACCGAUCACUUUCCUCCACCGAACUCUCCGCCGUUCAAUCCACUUCUCCGCCUUCCGAUAACCACUCCUCCGACUCCGAAUUCACCAAAAUGCUCAAACGUCCAACGCGUCAGGAGUCACUCUCCGAUAAGAUCUACAGAUUCCGUGGCACUCUUCUCGUUGUCUCGAUCCCUAUCCUUCUCAUCACGUUUGUUCUUUAUAUGAUGCCGUCGAGCUCGAAUUAUGAUUCUGCUGGAGAUUAUGCUCUUCUUAAUCGGAAACUUUCGCCGGAUAAAAAAUCUGGUGGCUCUUAUGCUGUUAUUUUUGAUGCUGGUAGCUCUGGUAGCCGUGUUCAUGUUUUUCAUUUUGAUCAGAAUUUAGAUCUUGUUCACAUUGGCAAAGAUCUUGAACUUUUCGAACAGGUCAACACAAUUUUCUCUGCAAUAGGAACAUUAUCUUAUUCGAUAAAAUAAAAAACACUUUAUUAGGAGUUUAUUUUUAUUUAUUCCAUAAAAUUAUUUCAUGGUAUAUGCUAAAUAGUUUAUAUCUAGAUGCAAUAUUAUAGAUAUACAAUUAAGCACAAUACGAAAGCAGACAAGCAGACAUGUUAGUGUAUAUCUUUCCAUUAGUGCUUUAAACGCAGCUUAUGUAGUUUUGAUUUGUGUUUUGCAGCUUAAACCUGGUUUGAGUGCGUAUGCUCAGAAACCGCAGCAAGCAGCAGAAUCUCUGGUUUCACUUUUGGAGAAAGCAGAGGGUGUUGUUCCACGGGAAUUGCGAUCAAAGACACCAGUUCGAAUUGGGGUGUGUGGUUUUGUUUUUUGGCAUUGCAUUUCUGAUUUGUUUGUGUGUUGUUUUUAGGAAGGAAAUUUGAAUUGAAUUUAUGUGGUGAUGCAGGCAACUGCAGGUUUAAGGGCUUUGGAAGGGGAUGCAUCUGAUAAGAUAUUGAGAGCGGUAACUAUUGCUUUAUCUUUCUCAAUUUCAGUGGUUUUAGAAGCUGUCCACGUUUUAUUGAUUUAAAUUUCGUUGAUGUAAGGUAAGGGAUUUGCUGAAGCACAGAAGCUCCUUUAAAUCUGAUGCUGAUGCGGUUACAGUGUUGGAUGGAACACAGGAAGGUGCUUAUCAAUGGGUAUGAUUUAUGAACAUAAUGCUAUCAGUGAUUUAUUAAAGUUUUCUUAUUGCGUGCUCAUAGCUCUAGGCUGCCAUUCACUAGUAUUAUAUGAAUGCAUCACAAUUAGAAUGCAUCCUGACUAGUGGAGAAUUGACAAGUUUUUUUAUUAACACUGACUGCAUUGUUGUUAACUCGGUAGACUAAUUUAUAGGGAAUGCAUAUUUGAAACUGUCCCAUAUCCUUAAUAGAUUACCUGGUGGCUUUUGCCUUUUGAAAGAAUAGGGCCGAACAAAUUGUCCUCUUGUGUUGAUGAAGUAAGUUUUAGACAUACUUGUUCAUACAGUCUGACUUUUCCCUUCUUUCUAUCAAUAGUUCUAUCCUACCACAUCAAUCCACUCAAUAUUAAUAGGCCUGAUUUAUUGGAUUUGGAUCCUCUCAUGUUGGAAUUUAACAUGUGAGAGUUAUAUUGGUGAAUCUCAACAUUAAAAUCCACUUACAUAUAGUAAUGGUGAGAUCACCAACAUAACACUAAUUGUGUUGAAUUCCAACACUAGAGGAUCUUAAUCUUGGUUUAUUGAUUAAUAAAAACACACCUACUAUGUUGGCACCCCAACCCUACCACCUAUCACUUGUAACACCCUAAAAAUUUGUUAAUUAGAGAAAAAAGAUAACAAACUUGGGGGACUAAACCAAAACCCAAGGGGAAACCAUAACAUUUGCCUUAUUAAAAACCUUACCUGGAAAAUCCAUUGGGACAAAACCAUGUGAAGGGAAGAAAAGUGCAGUGUUUAAACAACAAUUAACAAAAUCUAUAUUCCAGAAACCCAUUUAAACAACAAUUAACAAAAUCUAUAUUCCAGAAACCCAAUUCUAUUCCUAGUAGAGGAGUGGUUUCCCACCAUUGGUAGGAACUUAAAUGAAUGCCUAAAUUUGCAAGUCUGUCAGCACUUUGGUUACCUUACCCUCCUGUAAAUACGAGACAUGAUGAAAGUCAUCUUGGUGGUGAGAACCAUACAAUUUCUCCAUUGAUUUCUAAGACUCCAAGGAGCACUUGUAUGGUUUUUGUAGGUAGAUAUAGAAGAAUUUUAUUUUAGAUACAGUGAUUAAUAAUAAUUAUUUUUUCGCUGUAUGCUAAGAAUAUCUUCUGGGCUCUGGUCAACUUAAAGGUGCUCUUUUAGUUUGAAGAAAGCAGUUAGUAAACAUGUUACAUUACAUAAGUUGGGAUGAACGUGAAGUGACAACUAUUAGAGACCACACUGAAACCUUAGAUGAACAACACUGUGAAAACUAAGAAUAUCUUCUUUGUUUACAACUAUUAGAGACCACACCGUAAUUAAUUAAGUUAAUAGUUUAGUCAUUACUGAAAUUUUAUUCUAUCAAUUUCUUUAUUAAAAAAAAGAGCCGGCAAAGUUAAAGAUAUGCUGUAUUUCUGAAACUGUAUUUGGUAGAACAGCCAGGUCAACCAUCUUGUGAAGACACAAGAUAUUUAAAAAUAUGGUUCAGUUUGAUAAGGUUUUACAGUACCAUAAUAGUUUCUAAAUAGGGAUGGGUGAUGGCAUCACACUGAUAACUUCUUUAAUUUUUUGUCAUAAAUGUUUUAAAAUAGUGAUUUGCAGUACUUUAAUAGUUUGAAAACUGGGAUGAAUAUGAACAACAUUAAAAAGAUUUAUAAAAUUUUGAAAUCAGGGUGGGCAUCAUUAUCAAAGUUAUAUAUAAUAUUGAUGAUAUGAAUUCUGAAGAACGACGUAGAACAUGUUGGCUACUUGGCUUGAUUCUAGUUCAUGAUUGUUAGAUUCCAAAAAAUUUCUUAUACUCAUAAUGCGAAAACAAGAUAUUUAAAAAUAUGGUUCAUUUUGAAAAAUGUAAAACAUUCAAGUAAUUGUUCCACUGGAUGAAUUUUGGCGUCAACUUAACAAUGAAAAGUGCGGAUUCCUCCGAAGAACUGCAUUAUGACUUAUGAGAUUUAUGGAUGGACAUCAUUCUUAGUGUUCUCAAAUAUGGAUAAUCUCAACUUGAUAGAUGGACAUAGGACGUUAGCUUGUUUCCUGCUUCUGAUUGUUAGAUUCCCAAGAUUUGAUUAUAAUUCUACCAUAAUGCAAGAUAAAUUUUUACACUGGAUAAAUUUAAUCAGAAUUAUUUCAACAAUGAAAAUUGAAAAGCUUAAGGUUCCCCUGUUUAAAUAAAAUUCUUUCAUAUGCUGUUUUUUUUAACAUAGUUGAAUUUUGUUUUUUCUAUUUGAAGAGGAUGAUGGUAUGAGGACUACUUAGAUAUAUCAGAAAAAUACAAUUUAUUUGAACUCUAAAAUCUAAUGAAUGGCCUUCAGAACACUAGAAAGUUAGAAAUCCUAUAUUUCCUCUAAAGGUAUACUGGAUAUAUUCUCAGGUAGCUUUUCCUAGCUUUCACACCGGUAAAUAAAACCUGUUCUGAUCAAAUAGUUUAAUAGUUAAAAGCAUCAAAUAUGAACUGCUAGUUAUUAUAAUAUCUUAAUUAUAAUUAAAAAUUUUGUGUGUUCUUGCUUCUAAGAGUAAAGAGCUGAUGCAGUAUUUUGUUUGUGUUACCUUGUCUCUUGUUUUUUUUAGGUUACAAUUAACUAUCUAUUAGGAAACUUGGGAAAAGAUUAUUCAAAGACCGUUGGGGUAGUUGAUCUUGGAGGUGGAUCUGUUCAAAUGGCAUAUGCCAUCUCUGAGUCUGAGGCUGCCAUGGCUCCACAAGUAAUGGAUGGAGAGGAUCCAUAUGUCAAGGAGAUGUUCCUCAGGGGAAGAAAAUAUUACCUCUAUGUUCACAGGUUUUUCUACUUGAUAUGCUUGUGUAUAAUGUCAUUUCUUUUCUUUGUUUACAGCCUUUAAUACUAAUAGCAUUAACUCAUGGACCUGGACUUGUUAAUAAAAAAAAAAACUCAUGGACCUGGAUGCAGAGAUUUUAAUACAGCCUUUAAUACUUACACUUUGCAGUCAUAGAUAUCUUUUAAUAGACUAAUAGAUUUUCUACUUCUUGCGCUCAGUUACUUGCGCUAUGGUUUACUAGCAGCUCGUGCAGAGAUUUUAAAGGUUGCCGGUGAUGCUGAAAACCCGUGUAUCUUAUCUGGCUCUGAUGGUAAUUACAACUUCUCCUUUCUGUAUGCCCGCCAGCCGGCACUAUUUUGAUUGAGUUGCAUUUCAUCUCUUUUGAUUAUCCCUUUCAUUAGUUGAUACGAAAAAAGAGUACCAAAUAAUUAUACUUUUUAUAUGCUUUUUCUUCAUGUCUUAAAAUUCUGAUGACAAGCGGAUUUUUUAAAAUUCUUAGGAACUUACAAAUAUGGAGGAAAGUCAUUUAAGGCUUCAUCUUCUGGAGCAAGCUUAAAUGAAUGCAAAAGUGUAGCUCACAAGGCUCUCAAAGUCAACGAGUCAACAUGUACACACAUGAAGUGCACUUUUGGUGGGAUAUGGAAUGGUGGAGGUGGGGAUGGACAGAAAAACCUAUUUGUUGCCUCAUUUUUCUUUGACCGGGCUGCCGAGGUAUUUAUUUUUUUCAUUUAACACUUCUUGGAAUAAUUGACAGAAUUGCUUCUAAUUCUACUGCAUUGUCAAUCUUAUCACAUUACUUGUUCACAGGCUGGUUUUGUUGAUCCAAACUCACCAGUUGCAAUAGUUCGUCCUGCGGAUUUUGAGGAUGCUGCCAAGCAGGCUUGCCAAACAAAACUCGAGAAUGCCAAAUCCACUUAUCCACGAGUUGAAGAGGGGAACCUUCCAUAUCUUUGCAUGGAUCUUGUAUACCAGUAUACAUUGCUUGUUGAUGGGUUUGGUAGGUUCUAUUCCAAAGUUUGGAUAGUUUAUACAUGACGGUGUUUCUACGAACUCUGAGUAACUUACUAUCUUCCUACGCUUAUUGCUUUCACUUGUUUGCAGGCAUAUAUCCAUGGCAAGAGAUUACAUUGGUAAAGAAAGUUAAAUAUGAUGAUGCCCUUGUCGAGGCAGCUUGGCCGCUAGGAAGUGCCAUUGAAGCUGUAUCAUCUACGUAACAGGACCGAUUUCAUGAGUUAGGUUACUCAUCCAAAAUCUUGGAGCAUGAAAUUUGUGGCGAAACACUGCCUGUCAUUCAUGGUGAUCAGAAAUUACUUCAGGCAAAAUUGGAAUUGGAUAUGGGUCUAUUUUUCAGGAAUAACGAGAGAUUAUAGCUUCAUUAUUUUUCAUACGUAAUUAAUUCACAAUAUAUCUGAUUUACAGCUCUGGCAGAUUCAUUCGAUUCAUUAAGUGCAUCUAUAUAUCUUGUCUGGAAAGAUGAACAAAAUGGUGAUGCUUACACCAUUUCAUUUUUGUUUAAAUGUUUUCGUUCGUGAUUAUAGUUAAUCCUUUAUUUCUUCUCGUCUUGUUGUGGCAUCUGGGACUAAUGAUUUUGGUAACUCUUACUUGUGAAUAUAGUCAAUUGUGGAUGAGUUCAUGUUAAUAACUCAACUUAUUUUGAGAUUCUUGCAUAGAAAUCUAAAGGAAAAUUUAUUAAUGGUAAUCAAAAUUUCAAAUAUUUUGAUCGAUUUUUGUAUGUACUAAUUCAAAACUGUCUUAGUAAAGCAUGUCCAUGCCUGUUAAAGUAUAGGGAAAGCAAAUGAUAAUAAUGUUUAAUGAUUGUUUGGAGUUUGGACGAUAUGACAAUGUGAAUGAUGUUUAAUGAUUGAUGAUGAUGUGGGUAUAACUUGACUCAAUUUGUAAUCUAUUGAUAAAACAAACUUAUGUUAAUCUGGUGUUCAGUAAUUUUUAUUUCUUGAGGAGCUGAUGAUUCAAUAUUUAUCAAUAGUAUUAUACAUAUAUGGGAUUUUUUUUAUUUUUUUUUGUUGAGAAAACAUAUAUGGUAAAUGUUAACUUGUGAUAUUUCUUCUUUUGGUUUUCUUAACAUGUAUUCUAAGGGCACAAGUUAACACUAUCCGUUUAGUAUUGUAUUUAACAUUAAGGGCACUUGUUAAGUUAAAAAUGGAGAUAAGUGAUAAAUUCAAGGUUAAAAAAUCAAUUUCUAAAAUUUAGAGUUGUUGAAUACAUCAUUUCUAAUAUAGUGGAUUUUUAGACACUUGUUAGCAUUUCCAUAAUAUUCUUCAUUGUAUUUUAUGUAACAUUAAAAUUAAAACGUUUCCUUCGAAAAAAAUUAAAAUGUUGCUUAAAAAAAUUGUUGACAUAAACUUCUUUCAACCAGGUGAGCAAGUUUUAAGAAUAUUUGCUGUGGGCGUUAACUCUGAAAACUAAAUAAAUGAAGGAUUAAAGUUGAAUAAUAUUUUUUUUACGUAGAGAUUAAAAAUAGUUUCAAUAUAUUAAAAUGUACCUCUUUGAUCCUAUUUACAAAAAACAAUUGAUUUUUUAGAAUAAUUUAUGUAUCUUAUUUAGAUUCUUGAUUAGAAACAUAAAUUGUCCAAUGUAUCUAAAAAAUCAACUUUUUUUUUAUAAAUAUGAGCGGAAGGAGUACACUAUUUUAGAACUAAACCCUUGUGCCUAUUUUGUUUUUGAAGGACCUUACUUGUGCCUAUAUGUCUAAAAUAAGAACAUUUAAGAAUUGAACCGGAUAUCAAACCAAUUAAGUCUUUGAGUUAUAAUUCAACUACUUUAAACUAUUCGAGCUGUGAAAUGUGAUGACCGUGUUUACACUUUUUUCCCUUUCCUUGUGUAAAUUACAUCACUUAACGCUUCAACUUUACUUCUCUCUGAGUCAUUUUCACAAACACCUUUGCCUACAAACUUAAAAUAAUUCGGUAAUCAUACUCUUCCGCUCUAUCCAAUUUCAAAAUUGAUUUCAUUAUCUUUAUAUCAUGAUCAGAAUCAGAUCUAACUUAUCUGUUUUUUCUAUUGCUCUAUUACGCAUAAGGCAUAACGCAAUCACUGUUAAUCACUGUGAUAUAGUUCACAAGCCUCUUAUGAAUGCUUCUUUCAAUGCUUUUAAUUCUUCAAAUUAUUACACUUUUUUCGCUCCACCGAAAUUUAGUUUUUCAGUUAGGUUCUUUUCUGCUGAAUCCUCAAGUGACGAUGACUAUAAUGAAGAUGACGGUGAUGAUGAUCAUGAUAAGAAUAGUAGUCAGUUACAUUUAAGGGAUGAUGGUUUUGUCAAAGAUGUUAAGACCAUUUUGGAUAUAAUUCACAAACCGGGUUCUGGGCCCUAUGAAAUUAAGCAGAAGCUUGAGGAUUGUAAUGUUAAAGCAUCAUCGGAGUUGGUUGUGGAGGUUCUUUCGAGGGUUCGCAAUGACUGGGAAGCAGCUUUCACUUUUUUCUUGUGGGCUGGAAAGCAACCGGGGUAUGAUCAUUCGGUUCGCGAAUAUCAUUCAAUGAUAUCUGUUCUUGGUAAAAUGAGGAGGUUUGAUACUGCUUGGGCCUUAGUUGAAGAAAUGAGAAGAGGAAAAACUGGUGAAUCUAUUGUUACCCCACAAACUCUUUUGAUUAUGAUAAGGAAAUACUGCGCUGUUCAUGAUGUUGGUAGGGCUAUAAACACUUUCUACGCUUUUAAGCGGUUUAAUUUUCAAGUUGGAUUGUACGAGUUUCAAGGCCUUCUUUCUGCGCUUUGUCGGUACAAGAAUGUGCAGGAUGCUGAGCAUUUACUGUUCUGUAAUAAGAAUGUUUUCCCACUUGACACCAAAAGCUUUAACAUCAUUCUUAAUGGAUGGUGCAAUUUGAUUGUUAGCGCGCGUAAUGCAGAGAGGAUCUGGGAGGAGAUGAGUAAGAGACGAAUCCAACACGAUGUUGUCUCGUAUGCAAGUAUCAUAUCUUGCUAUUCAAAGUCUUCUAAACUUUAUAGGGUGCUCCAGCUGUUUGAACAAAUGAAGAAAAGGAAUAUCACUCCUGAUAGGAAGGUUUAUAAUGCAGUCAUUUUUUCUCUUGCGAAGAAUAGGAUGGUGAAAGAAGCUGUAAAUCUUAUUAUAAAAAUGGAAGAUAACAAUGUUACUCCGGAUGCUAUUACUUACAACUCCCUGAUCAAACCUCUCUGCAAAGCCCGCAAAAUUGAUGAAGCAAAAGAAAUUUUCAAUGUGAUGUUGGAGCGAGGCAUAUCCCCGUCCAUUCGGACUUUUCAUGCUUUCUUCCGAAUAUUAAGAGUCAAGGAAGAAGUAUUUGAGCUUUUGGACAAAAUGAAAGAGCUAGGGUGCAACCCAACUAUCGAGACAUAUAUAAUGUUGAUAAGAAAGUUUUGCCGGUGGCGCCAGCUUGAUGAAGUCAAAAGGAUAUGGAAUGCAAUGAGGGAAGAUGGAAUUGGCCAUGAUCGUAGCUCGUAUAUUGUACUGAUUCAUGGUCUGUUUCUGAAUUGUAAGGUGGAGGAAGCAUACAAAUAUUAUAUAGAGAUGCAAGAGAAAGGUUUUCUCCCUGAACCAAAGACAGAAAGUAUGCUUCAGGCAUGGCUUUCUGGGAGACAAGUAACAGACAGCCAGGCAACAGAUCUAGAACACAAUCAAUUGGAACAUGGUGGUCUUAAAAAGAGUGUCAAACCUAUACAAAGUAAAUUUGAUAGGGAAAAGGAUUUUCUUCGCGAACCCGAGACCAGAAGUGUAUCAAGAGAAGGAGGCUUUUCUUUCUGGGAGAAGUAAAUCGCUAUCCAACAAGAGGUUAAUUUGCAUUUCCUUUGUCUACGAUGAAGGCAACGCUUGUUGGUCACUAUACUUUUCAAAUUUAUUGAAUGCUCCAAACAGGUGCUUGGCAUGCACUUUUGUUAUUGUCUAUUCAGACUUCAACUGCCUUGCCUUAAACAAGAGCUGCAAGAUGGAUGCAACUUUUAAAAAAACAUAGGUUUGUUAAUUGUUACAAAAUUGGAAACUUUUGGUUAAUUUGUAGUGAUAUAGUCAUUGUACUGGUUGACCUUGGGGGUUUGUUGUAAUACAGGAGCUGAAUUUAGGUGCUUAUAUGUAACUUUAAGCGCAUCACCAAAGGUAGAAUCAGUUUAGAGUUCUUAACUUAUUUUUAGUUAGCUCUACAAUGCUUCAUCAAUACUAUGAACAUUUGCAUCUUUUCACUUUAAUGGUGCAACUCUUUAAGAGCUUAAAAAUGUUUUACAAUUGCAAGUUAUUUCAAAUAUUUGUGUUUUAAAAUGACACAUUCUUUUGAUAGUUAAGAACCAGUUCUUACAUGUAGCAUAUGUGUUAUCCACCUCCAAUAGUAGAACUUGUAAGAACUGUUUUAUCUCUAUGAACCCUACUAACAAGUAACAAUUUCCAUUGGAGAUAAAUUCCAAACAAGUGGAGCUAGAAACUUAAACUUCUGCUAUGAUGCUUUUGAUUGCCGUUUAAUAAUGUCAAUUGAUAGUUAGCACCGAUAUGAAGUAAAAUAAACUAGCAUAUACCAAAGGAAUUUAUUAACCAUGAUGCUGUAGUAAAAUCUUAAUAUACACCUCGAUUUAGAUUGCGAUUAUUAUUUUUCACCAUCCUUCAACUCUUGAUACCUUGAAGCAUCGAAACUUUACCAACAUAUGUCAUAUCAGCAAGCAUGAAAGAUAUGAUACAAAAGUUUCAGAAAUUACCAACACCAAAGCUGCCCAAAGAGCUGAAUAAGGCAGCCGAAAUUGGAAAGCCAAACACCAAACUGAAAAGAUGACUAGUUUGACAAAGAAUGAUAAACAAAUAUGCAAACAAUAAGCCUCAUCAAAGGCGAGAGGCCAAUUAAUUGUCGAGAAACACAGCCCAUACCUCGCGAUACCUUGAUACGCCAGCAGCAAAACUCCCGAAACAGAUGUGAUGCCAAGAUGAAACAAUCCACACCAGAGAAAUAGCACACCUGAAACAACACCAAAAUCCGUCCAAAGAAUAAAUUAAGAUAACAUGUCACAACAAGAUUGGCACCUUAGAUCCAAAGUGAUACUUGGAAAUCCAUACUCCUUGACAUUACACCAAAUGAAAUGAAGUUAACAAAGAAUGCUAAACAGAUAUGCAAACAACAGCCUCCUCAAAGGUGAUAGUCCAAUUAUUGACAAACACGGCCAGAAUGUCGCGAUACAUAGCCUCGCCAACAACAAACUUCCGAAACAACUACGUUGCGAAGAUGGGACAAAUGAAGCCAAAGAAAUAACUCCAAUCCAUUGAGCCACCCCACAUAAGUCUUUUAGGUUUCUGCUGAAACUGUACACCGAAACUGAAAAUAUAAAAUUCAAUACACCACAGAAAGAGCCAAAACAGAUAUGAAUGAAUAAAUCAAUGAAAAUCCUGACAAAAUACUCUCACUUUAUAUCCUAUAUUAUGUAUGAACCACUCAAUAAUCCUCCCACUAAUUGUCACUCCUCUCUUGGUUAGCAAAUCAGCAGAAUUGUUGGCUUCCCUGUUCACUCCUCUCUUUUGUAUUUUCUGUCAAAAAAAAAAACUUUUGUAUUUACGUACUUCCGCAAUAGCUGAAGCUCCAUUUGAAUCAAUGUAGCAUGUCUUAAAACUUAAUGUAUUAAACUUUAUAUGGAGGGUAUUCUUCCAUUGGAUGGAUUUGCUUCCAGGUAAUUGUAAUGAAAUACUACUGGCUUUAUACUAUCGAAAUCUUUAGUCUUAAUUGCCACAUGUUGAUUCUUAUCAAAGUGGUUUCUGAAAGAAUUUGCGGAUUCAGGCGGCAUUUAGUCUGUGGUUCUUGCACUUGCUUGAUGAGUUUAUGAUUUUUUUAUUUGGUUGUAAUUUUUUUUUUCCUGCUUUCAUAGCAAUGCAUGGUUUUGUCAAAUGCAAUGGUUUGUAGACCUAAUUGAUGUGUGUUGUGCAAGAAACGAAGUAAGGAAGUACAAGUGUGUCACUCCUUGGUGUAUAUGUAAAGUUCUAAUCAUCGAUUAUUUUGUACAUGCUGCUGGUCUUUCAAAUUCUUCUUCCAUGAAAAGUCCAUUUGGGAUUGAAAUCAGUUUGGAUAUUGUUUGAAAAUUUAUAAGCGAUUUAAUUUGAGCAUGCUGCCAUUUAUCAUACACCACUAAAGCUCUUGAUAAUAUAUACGACACAUUUUCAUCGAGUAUCUAAUGCCAAAACCUUAAGUUUCUACUUUGCAAGAAAAUUCCAAAGUUUCACAUUAGCAACAUCCAAAGUUUACAACAUGCCAAAGAAGUCUGCAAUGCAAUUGAUGCUAUUAGAACAGUGAUUUACAGCAACAUAUGAGUCAUUUCUUGUCCAUAUAUCCUUAGCUAACUCACAUGUAACAACAGACAUGCACGCAAAUUUCAAAUGAUUUCUGCAGUUUACACAUGAGGUUCUAGUAGGUAAGCACCCUUUUAGUAAUUGGAAAUUACUAGCGCUGCUAGUGCUAAUUCCACCUCUUGAAAACAACUACGCACAUGAUAGGUUAGAAACUAGGAUUUUUUUUCUUUUUAGAAAAGAUUUGGUGCCUUUUAUUCCUUUUUUUACAUUGUUAAAAAAAUAAACAUGUUCAGCGUGCAGUGCUUUAAGAAAAAAAUAAGGGAGUAGGUUGAAACUUUAAGGAAACAUGUUUGUUAUAUUUUGUUUAAAAAAUAAAAUAAAAUAUACAAUUUUAUCCUUGACCUAAAACAUAUUUUACAUAGAUAGAAUUAAGUUUUUGAGUUUUUUUGCUUGUUAAAAAAAUAUGAGUUUUUUGGUCAAUAACAAACAGGUGUAGAUUAUUAACUUACUAUUCAUGGUUUUUUUUUUUUUUUUUUUUUAACCCAUAUAUAUAAGGGAGUAGUCUUAUAGCUAAAAUUCACAUUUUAAAGUAAAUGAAUGGGGUGUUAGAAUUCGAACAUCAACCCAUAUAUAUAAGUCCACGACACAUGAGUUAUGCUCUCGGAAACGACAACUAAUCACGAUUAUUUGUGAAUAUAGCAACUCUUUUUGUACAAAAUCGUAUUUUUUUUUUUAAUAAUUAUCUCUCCCCUCAUGAAUCUCGUGUUAUAGUGGGUAAUGGAAUUAAAUAAACAAUUUCAAAAGAAUCUUCAUAGUCUAAGUUUUUUUUUUUUUUGUUGGAAAGAAUGGGCAAUUCCAAAACAAGUACCAUCCCAAAUCAGGCAAUACUGCACUAUAGGAAAAAAAAUCAGGAAAAUACAUUGGUGCAUAUGGAGCGUGUUCUUUGUUUGAUGCUAACUUCUAUUUUUAGGAAAAUACAUUGGAUAAGUGAACUUGAAGAUAUAUAUUUGGUGACAAAUUUUCAAUCAAAGGUGCAUAUAUGUCAUAUUUUAGCAUUGCAUUGUCCCCUUUAUGUGAUAUUGCGUGGAGUAAAAGUUUUUUUUUUUUGUUAAAGGUCUCGUCGUUUGUAUGAAGGUUAUUGCAAAAUAAUUUUUUUGCAAAAGACAAUCUUGCACGUUAUUGAGCAUUUUUGUGGAAUUACGUUGUGUUGGUGGAUGCGUCUGCCUUUAAACAUCUUAACUCUUAUUUUUGGAAUGUGCAUUUUUUGUUAAUGUUUACUAUAGCUUAGUGCUUGUUUGGCUGGAUAUUAGUUGUCUCAUGCCAAAUAGUAUGUCGAAACAUGCUUAGUCAUUUGGUGGUAUAUGCUUGAAUCGUAAAGUGUAUCGUCAAAUGUUGCGUGCAAUUUAGAUGUCCGUGUAUGAUCUUGAAAAGCUCAAAAUAUCAAUAUCUUUUAACAAAAAGAGCUUCUCAUAGUCAUGGGUAAUUUUUAGAAUAUAUUAAAUUUAUGUCAUGGUGAUGGCUCAUGGUAAUCUUUAGAAUCUAUUCAAAGUUAAGUUACAUAAAUCGCGGACACAUCUUACUAUAUGUUUGAGGUCCAUAGCUUGAGCGUUAUGCUUUAUUCAUUUUUUGUGUUGAUGGCUCAUUUGUAAUUGGUUUUGUGUUGAUUUUUUUUAUUGUGAAUUGUAGUAAUAUUUUGUGUCCUUGCCAUAUAUUGUGCCACAUUUAAACAAUGUGUUGAUUCGAUCAAGAUUAAGAUACUAGUAUAAUAAUUAGAGCACCAAUGCCACAAUGUCAUUAAUUAGUCCACCUUUAACAGCGGCAUAUAACAUAAUUUAAGAGAAAGAAAACGCAAGUUAAUCGUGUCUUUUAAAUAAUUAAUUGAUCUUCACCUUUUCCAGUUAUACAUAGUGGGUUGUGAAUUAUGACAAACACAUGAUUAAGCUGGUUAAUUAACCUGUGACCAAUUUCAGAAUUAUUUUGCUCAGUCCAAAAAAUUAAGAUUAUGGAGUUCCUAAUUACACUAAUCACCACUGUUCUACUCUUGUUAAUGCCUGCAAUCACUUCCUCACAAUAUUUAGGAAACAACCUACUCACUAAUCGAAAGAUUUUCCAAAAACAAGAAACAAUUUCCUCUUAUGCUGUCGUGUUUGAUGCUGGUAGCACUGGUAGCCGUAUUCAUGUUUACCAUUUUGAUCAGAACUUAGAUCUUCUUCAUAUUGGCAAAGAUGUUGAGUUUUUUAAUAAGGUGACAAUAACAUUUUAUGCAUCACAUUUUUUUGUUCUUUUUUUUUUUUUGGUACAAUUUUUUUUGUUCUUCUUGAUUACUAUGAAGUUACUCCCUACGAUCUUAAAUAUAAUAAAAAAGUCAAAUGUAUUUGGUCCAAAUUUAAAUCAAAUAUAUUUGACUUUUUGAUUAUAUUUAAGAUGGAGGGAGUAUAUAUAUGUAAAUGUAUUCAUAUCAAUCGUUAUUCUCUUCAAUACUUACUUCAGUGUAUUAUGUUGUAGAUAACACCUGGUUUGAGUUCAUAUGCAAAUGAUCCGGAACAAGCUGCAAAAUCUUUGAUUCCACUUCUACAACAAGCAGAAAAUGUGGUCCCUAUUGAUCUACAUCACAAGACACCGAUCAGACUUGGGGUAGGUUUUUUCUUUGAUUUGGUGCAGUCACAAUCAUAGAUUCACGCCGUAAUCACAUUGAUGAUCGUUAGAUCAAAAUAUGCAGAAAGCAAACGAUUAAAAAAAUAAUUAAAAUUUCAAAUUUCAAAUCUGGACUGUCUGAUCUUGUUCCAACAAUCAUUGAUUUGUUGACUACGCAAAUGUGCAAUUUUUUUUUUGUAUGUUAACCCUCGCUUCUCAAGAAAAAUGGGCCCUGCUAAUCUGAUGUUCCGGCUAGAAUGAUCAAGAAUUGUUCCACCCGGAAAUAAAUGAAUGAAAUGUGUAACAACAUAUUUUUUAUUUUUGGUCUAUGUUUAUAUAAUUAGUGACAGAAAAUAUCAAUUACUCUGAUAAAAAAUAAAUCAAAUUUAUUAUCACUUUUAAUUGUUUCAAUAUGUAAAAGGAUUAAAUAAUUUGUAACAUAAUUUGCAUGAUAAUAUUAUUGCAGGCAACCGCAGGUUUAAGGCUUUUGAAUGGGGAUGCUUCUGAAAAGAUAUUGCAAGCGGUAAUUAUUAGUUUAAUUUUGUUAUUUUAUGUUUCAAUAUUAUAAUUAGCAGUUAGAUCUAAACUUUCCAUGCUUAAAUUAGAGCUUAAUUUUGUGUUCUUAAUUAAUUACCUUAGGUAAGGGAUAUGUUCAGCAAUAGAAGUACCUUCAAUGUUCAACCUGAUGCAGUUUCUAUUAUUGAUGGAACCCAAGAAGGUUCUUAUCUCUGGGUAUGACAAAUAUAGAACUAAAGAAUUUAAUUUUUAUUGUUUAUAUUCAUAUCUCUUUGAGAAAUAAUAUGAAUUUAGAAAUAAUGAUCAUUGUCAAAGUCAAACGAUUUCAAUGAUCUACUACGUAAAAAAUCCUAUGCAUUGGUAUUAAUUAUUUUCAUUAUUUUCUUAAUAGGUGACAGUUAACUAUGCAUUGGGGAAUUUAGGGAAAAAGUACACAAAAACAGUGGGAGUAAUGGAUCUUGGAGGUGGAUCAGUUCAAAUGGCAUAUGCAGUGUCAAAGAAAACAGCUAAAAAUGCUCCAAAAGUUGCUGAUGGAGUUGAUCCAUACAUUAAGAAGCUUGUACUCAAGGGAAAACCAUAUGAUCUCUAUGUUCACAGGUUUCCUUCUAAUUCAUUAUAUACUAUGAAGCACAUACAUGGACACGAACAUCAGACACGACACUGACACAAACACGUCAAUACAGAUAAAAUUUUAGUUGCAUAUAUAUCAUGGCUAAUAAUAUAUUGUUUCUUUCAGUUACUUACACUUUGGUAGAGAAGCAUCUCGAGCUGAGAUUAUGAAGGUCACUCGUAGUUCUCCUAACCCUUGCCUUUUAGCUGGAUUUGAUGGUAAACACAAGUUUGUUUCACAAGUUAUUGAAGUUUCAAAUUGUUAGUUAUUUGUUAAAGCUGAAAAAAUCUUCGAUCACACUAUUUCGUCUAUGAUAAUUUCAGAUAAUAAUUUGAUUGAAAAAAAAAACUUACAUGAUCAAUGAUUUCAAAGUUUCAAAUUUCAGUAUAUUUUUAUGUUUAUGUAUUUUAGUAGCAUGUUAUGAUAUGCCAAUAACAUAGGAUUAUUUUUGGUUCUUAAAAGGGACCUACACAUAUGCUGGAGAGGAGUUUAAGGCCAAAGCCCCUGCUUCUGGGGCUAAUUUUAAUGGAUGCAAAAAGAUAAUUCGUAAGGCACUUAAAUUGAACUAUCCAUGUCCCUAUCAAAAUUGCACUUUUGGUGGAAUUUGGAAUGGCGGAGGGGGAAAUGGACAGAAACACCUUUUUGCUUCUUCAUCUUUCUUUUACCUACCUGAAGAUGUAUGUAAUGUAUUAUUGUUUUCUUUUAUAAAUUUGAUGCUAUUUAAUUAAGCCUUGCUAAUUACAUUGUCAAAUUAUUAUUUUAGGUUGGUAUGGUUGAUCCAAAGACACCUAAUUUCAAAAUUCGUCCUGUGGAUCUCGUGAGUGAAGCUAAGAAAGCUUGUGCAUUAAACUUUGAGGAUGCCAAAUCCACUUAUCCAUUUCUUGCUAAGAAAAAUAUAGCUUCAUAUGUAUGCAUGGAUCUUAUAUAUCAGUAUGUGUUGCUCGUUGAUGGAUUUGGUAAGUUUUUGCUACGAAAGUUGAUAGCUUUGUUAUUUUUUCAUUUAUUUUUAUGAGUUGAAAAAUUACGAUUCCAUGCCAUAAUUUUUUCAUGCAUUCACAUAGUCACGACUUUAAUGGCUGUCCGGUCAAGAUCGGACGGUUCAGAAAAAUCAGAUUUAAUUUUUCUAAAAAUACAGAACUUAAAUUAUAGUCAUCCGAUCUUGACGUGUGAUUGCAUGUAAGCUAAGUGUGACGAUGAUUUAUAACUUCGAUCUUUGUAAAGAAAUAUUGUACACUAUAAUGUUUUCAUGCAAUAAUUGCUUCCAUUUUAUUGGCAGGCUUAGAUCCAUUGCAAGAAAUUACAUCGGGGAAGGAAAUUGAAUAUCAAGAUGCUGUUUUGGAAGCUGCAUGGCCUCUAGGCAAUGCUGUAGAAGCCAUAUCAUCGUUACCUAAAUUUGAACGAAUGAUGUAUUUUGUUUAAACUUUUGGAUGUUACUACAAGAUGUUCCAGCACUAGAAGGCAAUUCUGCGUAAAAUGAAAUAAAUUAAGUCCGACAUGUUUUUUCUAUUGAGAAAGUUUAUUUUCAAUAUUAAUUUGUGUUGUUUAUGAGAAUAUGACGUUGAGAAUAUCCCUGCAUAUAUGCAAGUUUAGAAUAUACCUUUCAAUUUGAAAUUCAACUCAGGACUUAAAUUUCUAAAAGAUCAAGAUUGACAGAUUUACGAUCACUACUACAGAAAUGACAUUUCACAUUAGUGGAAUUCGACUUUUCAAAUCGGAUCCCACCCGAUGUAACUAAAGGUGAUGUUGUAUGUCCACCCCAUUUCACAUCGGGUAUUUGCCCGAUGUGAAAUAUGCUUUUGCACAUCGGGUUCUUUAGCCUUGAUGUGAUAAGUGUCGUUAAGAGCAGCACAUAAGGGUUUUCACUACGGCGAGACGGUGAGAACAAUGGCGAGAACGACAUCGAUUGAGUGAAAACGACAACCCAAUUGGGUGAAACGUUGAGAAUGACGACGAUUUUAUGAGUGAGAACAAUGGCUUUCAAUGAGUGAGAUUAUUAGCAGAAGAUGAGUAUUAACGCGAUUGAAACGUGAAGGUUAAGAGAAAGGGGAUCUCAAAGGUGAAAGGGGAUCUGAGAUCUACAAGAAACGUUUUCUAUUGGUUAAGAGAAGUUUAGUCAAAAUUGCGAAAUUGCCACCGCUUUUGUUUUCCCCUCAUUUAAAAAAUCCACCGAAGGGAAAUGUUAUCGGUUAUUUAGUUUUACCCUCAGCUACUUGGGUCCACGGAUGUGAAAGAUAAAUCCAACUUCAACAAAAUUUCAAAAAUGCCACCGUGCUAGCUUUCCCUUUAGCUACUUUGUCCAAUGAUGUGAAAUCCCUAUUGUGAAAUGUAUAUUUUCUAGUAGUGGAUGUUCAAUUAGCUUGGGAUUGUUGUUUGUCUGAUUAUUGUCCCAUUGUGUUGAUUGUCGAUGAAGAUAAUUGGAGUCCAAAACUAUUGUGUAUGUUGAAAAGUUGGGACGAAUUUUUCGGUUAUAAAGAAUCAGAUGCUGGUUCUUGAUAAUAAAGGGGAGGAGAAAGAGUUAUCGGAGGAGGAGGAGGUGAAGUAACUUCAUUCUCUUUCAUCCCAACUGUUCUCGCUAACAAAGUUUCAUAUAACAAUGUGUAGUGGCAAACACAUAGACUAAAUUUAAAUUGGCUUAAAGAAUGGGAUGCCAACAUAAAAUUCUUCCAUGGGUUAAUGGCUAGUAGACGAAGGAUCAAUUCUAUUAUUUCUAUCAAUGUUAACAGUGCUCAAGUGGAAGGGGUCACCAAUGUUUGAGCGAUAGUUUUUCAUCAUUUUGCCAACCAUUUAAGUUAGACUCUGUUUGCCAAUCAUUCAAGACUCUUAGUACUUUGGAAAGCGACGAUCUAACUCGACCAUUCAGUGAGGAGGAGGUUAAACAAGCGGUUUAAGACUAUGACAGUUACAAAAGCCCUGGUCCUGAUGAUAUUAAUUUUGGCUUCAUUAUGGAGUUUUAGUUCGAGAUUAAAGCAUAUGUUUUGUGAUUCCUAUAUGUGUUUCAUCAAAAUGAAAAACUGGUGAAAGGCUUUAAUUGUACCUUCAUAGCUUUAAUUCCAAAGGUUGAAAAUCCUUAGCGUCCGGCCGAACUCAUACCCAUUUCUCUUGUUGGUUACAUUAACAAAGUGUUGGCGAAGGUCUUAACCAAUAGGAUUCGUCAGGUAAUCGAAACUUUUAUCUCUAAUGCUCAGUCUGAAUUCAUCAAAGGUCCUCAAAUUCCUGGUGGGAUUCUUAUCGCUAACGAAGUUGUGGAUGAAGUACGCAAGAAAAAAAAGAAUUAUUUAAAGUUGACUUUGAGAAUUGUUUUGACUUAGUGGACUGAAAAUAUUUUAGAAGUGGUAAUGGGGAAGAUGAUUUUUCUAGUCUUGUAAAUGGAUCAUGGAAUGCGUGAGAACGACUUCUAGUUUUGAAAGCUAACUUUUUUUUAGGCGAUGUUAGGUCUCAAGGUGAAUUUUCAUAAAAGUACGUUGAUAAGGGUAAAUAUGGUCGCUUCUUGGUUGGCUGAGGCGGCCUCGGUGCUGAACUGAAAAUUACAAUGUAUCCCUUUUAUUUAUCAUAAAAUUAUGAUAGAAGGUGAUCCUCAUCGUAUGAGUUUAUGGUAUCCAUUGCUUGAGUGCUUAAAUAAAGGUUAUUUGGGUGGAAAAGCUGGAAUUUGUCUUUGAAUGUCGCUUGGUUCUUCAUUAAUAUGUCAUGUUAGGAAAAUAAAUUUGAUUAAAAGAAAUAUUGUUUGUUUAGACAAGGAUAAUGGAGGUCUGGUGGUGCGCAUGAUUAGGGAACUUAAUUUGGCAAUUUUAGAAAAAUGAUGUUAGAGGUUAUAUCAGGAUCAAGAUAAUAUUUUGUGAGGGAGAUCUUUUGAGCUAAGAUCCUCCCCAUUUAUGUUCUUCUCCAUUUCUUCCAUUUGGAGAGAUAAAGACACAAAAAAGUUUUAAAAAAAAAUAUAAUUCAUGAUGGUGGGACUCACUUAAUGGUAGGACCCACUAUUUAUUUUUUGUGUCUAUCUCUCUUCAAAUUGCAUCCUCCAUUUAUUUUACCAAACAGAAAGGAUCCUUUCUCAUGUCUUUUGGGGUCCGCUUGGAGUUAGAAUCCUCUCCAUUUAUAACUUUCUCCAUUUCUUCCAUUUUGAGAGAUAAAUACACACAAAAAAUAAAAAAUAAUUAAUGAUGGUGGAAUCCACUUAGUGGUAUGACCCACAACCUAUUUUUCGUGUGUAUCUCUUUAUAAAUGGCAUCCUAUAUUUAUUUUUAUAAAUGGAGAUGAUCUUUACCCGUCAACUUGAUGGAAAGUUUUGAUAAAUAUUAAAGGAUGUUUGGAGUUGGGAGUGGGUAGUUGGUUUGAUGAAAAUUUAGUGAGAGCGGUGGGAAAUGCAACCAAAAAUUUCUUUUGGUUAGAUCCGUGGCUGGAGGGUGACCCUUUAUGUAGUAGAUUCAAACAUUUGUUUGUUUUGGCUAAAAAUCAAUUCAUUUAUGUUACCAAGAUGAACUCUAUAGGUUGAAAUAUUGGGGAGACACUUGAAAGUGGCAGCGCGUGUUACUAAUAUGGGAGGAUGGACAUGUAGGGGAGUGUUGUGUUUUGCUCGAUAACUUUUUUUUGCACGAUGGUGUGGAUGAUUCUUGGGAUUGUAACCUUGACCGAUGAAAAGGUUAUUACGUCACUGAUGUGUACCACAGGUUGUCUAAUGUGGAAAUAUUCGACCAACCAAAUAUAUAUAUGAUCCUUUUUGGAACAAAUUGUUUGCUUGGAGAUUGUUACAUAAUCGGCUUCCAACCAAGGAUAAUCUGCUUUGAUGUCGAGUUCUUCCGCCUAACUCCAAUUUGUGCACCAGUGGAUGUAGUUAGGAGGAAAAUGCUAAUCAUCUAGUUUUGAGUUGCAAUCACUUCUGAAGUCUCUGAUUUCUUGUUCUUCAAUGACUAGGAAUUUCAUCAGUUUGUUCAAAUGUUCUUGCCGACCAUUUUAAUCAAUUUUAUGAUAUAGGAAGUCAUUCUCUAAAUGUUCAAUCUUCACUCCAGUUGAUUUGGUAGUUUUAUGCUUGGGUAAUUUGAAAGGAGGUAAACUACUGCAUCUUUCAACAUAAGGAGUCUCUAAUGCAUCAAUUACUUGAUAAAGUGAAAUUUAUUUUCUGUUGGUGGUUGAAAGCGAAGAAUGAUAGUUUAGCUUUUGAUUUUCACCUUUGACGGCUAAAUCCUCUUCAAAGUUUGAGUUUUGUUACCUAGCAUUUGUCUUUUAUAAUUUUUUAUGCUUCUUUGACUUUGUUUCUUCGAAUGUUAUAAUUCCUCGAAUUCUAUUUUAGUACUCCUUGUAUUGGUUAGGAUUCUUCGUUGGUUUUAAUAUAAUUCAUAUUGCAUUCUCUUCAUAAAAAAAUAUAAAAGACAAAUGAUUUAACAACAAAUUUUAUUAAUAAUUUUGCAUGCGUAAAUAAAUAAUUGUGAAAACGACGUCAAAAAAUUACGGUAAGUAAUAUAAGUCUAAUAUAUUAAGGGCUCGUUUGGAUGAAUUUAUUUUUGAGCUUAUAAAAAAUAGGUUAUGCCAAUAAAUAUGCUUUUAAGUUAAAUUAUAAGUUCUCACUAACAAAAAUUAUAUCUUCAUAAGUUGUUUUUUCGUAAACCACUAUGAUAAGCUUAUGAAUGAUACAUAAAAACUUAUUUAUUUGCAUUAUUAGCUAAAAAAUAAGUCAAUUCAAAUGAGUCAUAAUUAAUGUAAUCUAUUGAUCUCUCGUCUUUAUUAUUAAAACGUUUUUUUUUUUUUGAGAUCUUAUUAUUAAAACGUUAAAUUACUACUAUUCAUUACCUCAAUUGUCUAUGUCAAAUUAUAUUUUUAUAUUCGUGUUAACUCUUCGAUUUCUAGUGGAAGAUGGGUUGAUACUUUGAAGUUCAGGUAUGAAGUACGUGUAGAUUAACUAUCAAAAAAAUUUUAUUUAAAAAUCAAAUUCAGAUUUCCAUGAAGAAGAGUCAUGUUAUACCAACGCUUGCAACACAAUGUCGAUUCAAAUUAACAUGGUAAUGGUGGCUCAAAGGGCCUAAGCACUAGAGAUAGUUGGAGUUAUGGGUGGCAAAAAUGGCCCGACACUUGUGACUAUUUUCGACGGGUUGAGCUGAAGUUUCAAACUCAACCCCUUUUGUCGGAUUGCAUCACUUUGCUCGCUGAGAAAAUGAGGUGGGGCGGCCUAUGAGCUACAUAAUAUAUGUCAAUAUUUUAAAAAAAAAAAAUUAUUCGGUGGGUCUGACAAAAUAUGUCAUCAUUGAGACUUAUUUUGUGUUUUUGGAAUUAUUUUGAGACUUGUUUAAUGUUGUUGGAUUUAUAAUGGUCACAUUAUUGCUAUUAAUUAUGAUGCUACAUUUGUUAAUUAUGUUGUUUGAUUUUUUUAUGAUGUUGGAUUUGUCUCGUAACCUUGUUUUUAUAACAAAUUUAUUUGUUGCCAUUUUUUUUCUUUUGAAUAACAACAAUUUUGUACCAACAAAAUUGUCAAUAAAAUUAUGUUAAGUUAUACCAAAGACCCUUUAAAUUGUUUUAUUGUAAUAAAUUGAUCUUUUGAGUUUUAUUUCGUAUCACUUAGCUCCUUUAAGUUAAUUAAUUAUAAUAAAUUAGUUAUUUAAGUUUAUUUCGUAUUAUUAGGUCCUUUAAAUUAUUUAACCAUAGGGAUUUAAGAUCUUAAUUGCUUGUCACAUUGUUUAAAAAUAUUUAAUUUCUUAAUUGCUUGUUUGUAAAAAAAAUUAUUGCUUGUUACAACACAAUUGUUGGUUGCAAUACGUGUAUAGUUUCUUAAUUGCUUGUCACAAUUAUUGUACAAUUUUCUGUGACUGAAUUUGUUAGGGAAAUUGUCUAAAACCAACCCUUUCACGGUUUAGAGCUCGAGUAGUGUUAGGGAAAUUAGUAGUGGUAUCAUUUGAGACAACUUUGAUGAUAAUUUUUAUUUUCUCUUGAUAAAAAAUAAUAGAGACAAGAAAGAAAGAGAGAAAAUAAGGGUAUAAUGUGAGUAUGAGAAAUAAUGUUGUCAAAAAAUUGUCACAAAAUGAUUGUAUAAAUAUCAUUUCUCUUAGAGCUUCGUUAGAAGACAUCAUUCUCUUUUAAGACUGGCAAACCUUAUGGAAACAAAAGGGAAAGGAUGUUUACCAGUUUGUGGACGAAUACAGUGCUAAUGUCGAUGGAUACAACCCUAUAUCUACGCACCCAAAGAAGUUUUGCUGUCAUGCAAAUUUUACACAAAUUUUAUGGUUUUCGUGAUGUAUUGUUUGUGGUAGCAGUCCACUCUCACAUUCAUGAACGAGUCACCCGCUGAAUAGAACAAAUUUGGUUGAUGAAAUAUCUUUGGUGGAAGAUAGCGCAGAAGAAGGCAACCAUAAAAAUUUUAGUUUUUCUUUUAUUUUUUAACGUCACUUUGUUGUUGUGUACACCAAAGUGAGACGUUAUACUCUUACUUGUACAUAAAAAAAAAGUAAAAAUAUGAAUAAGAGAUUUUUUUUUUUUUUUGAAGAAAAAAUAUGAAUAAGAGAUAAAAAGUAAAAAUGUUGGAAUAUCAUAAUUUGAUGUAAAAAAAAAAAAUUGGAUGUAAAAAUGUAAGAUGAACUAUGAAGAAGUACACUGUACACAGUACACACACCGACACACGAGUUAAGCGAGGGCAAGUUUUUUAUUUUAUUUUCCACGAAAUGUUCAACGUGUAUAAAAUAGGUGGGGUAGAAAAUUGAAAUGGACCCUCUUUUUGUACCAAAAAUAAAUAAAUUGAAAUGGCAGGUUAAUGUACAAUGAAAAUGACGAGAAAUCCAAUAAUUGGUGCACGACGAAAACCAUGUUCCAAAAGACAAAUUAUUCUAAUUUUUUUUUUUUUUUUGUGUGGGGUUCGAACCCCGACCCUUGCAUAUAAUAAUACAUUAUCUUACCAACUGAGCUAUGUUCACGGGACCUAAUUCUUUUUUUUUUUACCAUAUUGAUUUGUAAUUGACUGCGACCCUUUUUGAAGAACAUAAAAUAUAUUAUCCGCAUAUACUAAAAGACCAAUAAUGCUUCAAUUAUUUUCUUUUUCAUUGUAAUUGAUGCUUCAGUUUUGUUUCAAGGCUUAUAUUUACACAAAAAGUCAUGUGAUAGAGUUAACUUUAAUUAUAGUUUAUGUAAAAAAAUCUUUUUCCGAUAUAUAGUAGAAAAGAUGUUAAAAAACAGGCUUAAGGUAAUUUCAACAUGUAGAAAGAACACCGUUAUAUGUAGUAUGAAGAGUAGAUCAGAUGAAGAAGAGUAUAUGCAGGGGAUAAUUUAGAAAAACUAUGAGAGAAACUAUUAAAAAAGAUUUAGAGGUUAAUCAAAAUAUGGUUUAGGAUAGAAUAUUAUGAUGUAAUUUGAUUCAUAUAGCCAACCCUAUUUAGUAGGAUACAACUUGUCUGUUCUUGUAAACAAUUUUAAUUUGGACGUUCAUUUGAUUUUUUUUAUUGAAGUGGACAUAAAAUGAUUGAUUAAUUCGACGAUCAAUUCCACUAUCCACUAGAGGGGACCAAUUGAAACCUAAUUAACUCUGUUAAUGAAGAUUUGUCACCAUAUUAUAUAUUAUUAUUUAUUGGUGGAAGCUUAUGCGGUACAUUCAUAAAUAGAACGCUUUUGCUACAUUAACUUCUUAAAAAGGAUAAAUUUAUGAUCAUUUUUAUGAACCAAAACUAUUUGUCGAUAAUUAUGUAGUUAAUGAGAGGUUAUAAGCAUUAUACUUUUUUUUAUAUAUUUUUUUUUAAUAUACACUUUUAUGAUUAAUAAAAAUUUAUUAUAAGAAUGGUAAUAUAAUCGAGUAACUUCAUUUCAAGAAUGGUAGAAUGUGUCAAGGUUCAAAUUUUGGGUGGUUUCAGAGUAGUUUAAGACAAAGUUCGAAAAUGAAAAAAUGAGAAAGAAUCUAAGGCUGCAUGUAUAUAAGUGUAUUUCAGAUUAUAUAAGUCGAAACUUUUUUUUUGUUUGGAUUAUAUAUUUUUAUAAUCAAACGGAUGUAAAAUUGAAAAAAUGGAGGGUUGAAAAAAGAAAGAAAAAAAAAAACUAUUGCUGCGUAAAAAGUGGGAAAAUAAAUUCUUUAUAAUAAACAUGUACAAUAAUAAAACAUGUACAAAAUAAUCAUUUUGUACUAACUGCUACUUGGAAAAGCUGUGAUAAACAACAAAAAAACUACAAAGUUAUUCCAAUCUUGUUUCUUUUCACUGCUGGCCUUUUAUUUGUUUUGCAAUUGGAUUGGAUUGAACUGGAGAGAAAAUAAAUUCAAACUUUUUUUUAGGAAGAAUAAAUUUAAACUUUUAUUAUUGUUAAAAAAUAAUUUGUUGUGAGUACUACUACAAUAUUAAUAUAUAAAUCUUUUUUUCUUUUAAAUUAAAUGUGUCUAACGAUAAAACUCACACACACAAUAUGUUGAGAAAUGAAGAAUUACUUAUGAGACUAUAAAUAUGCUUUUUAAUUUUAUCAUUUUAGGCAAUUAUCUCACAAUGUCUCAACAAAUUUUAAAUACGUCCUUCGUGAAUAAUCUCUUGAUUUUUUAAAGGGCCUAAAGACAUUGACAGGAGAAAGAAAACUGCUCCACUUUAUCAUACUACAUAGUAUUAUAUAUUAGUGGGAACUAAGAAUGCAAGAGCUACCAACACUAGCUAGUUUCAAAAUGGUUUUGCUUUGGCAAAACACCAAGAAUAUGAUGAACUUUAUGACACUCAUCACAUUUCUUCUCUUCAUUAUGCCUUCAAUUUCUUACUCCCAAUAUCUUGGAAACAACAUAUUACUCACUAACCGUAAGAUUUUCCCAAAACAAGAACCAAUUUCCUCUUAUGCUGUUGUGUUUGAUGCUGGUAGCACUGGAAGCCGUGUCCAUGUUUACCAUUUUGAUCAAAACUUAAAUCUUCUUCAUGUUGGUAAAGAUGUUGAGUUUUAUAAUAAGGUGACAAUAACAUCUUUUUGGCAUCAAAGUUUACUUUGUAGACAUAUAUUUCCUGUUUUUAUUUUUUAAAUCAUGUGUUCAUUUUAAUUUAGUAAUAAGAGAAGAUGAAAUGUUGGUUUGUGAUUAUGCAUUUUAAUUUUGAGAUAAUGAAAACAAUUUUUUUUUUUACAUUUUCAUUGUUAUAAAAAAAUACAAACAAUUUUUCACUUCAAUGGUUUAGUACCUUGUUAUUAUAAACUAAAAUUAAAACAAAUUUUAGAAAAAUGAACAUAACAAACUUUUUUUUUGAGGUAACAUAACAAACAUUUUUAUAAAGUAGUUUUUAUUAGAAUUUAAUUUCUCAACUUCUAACUUUAAAGUAUUCUUUUAUAGACAACGCCCGGUUUGAGUGCAUACGCGGAUAAUCCAGAAGAAGCUGCAAAAUCUUUGAUUCCACUUUUAGAGCAAGCAGAAAGUGUAGUUCCUGAGGAUCAGCGCUCCAAGACACCCAUUAGACUUGGGGUAAAUUUUUUGGUGUAUUUUUUUAUAUUUUUUUAUAUCAUGUUUUAGGUAUUGAGUUUUCACCAUCAUUUAACACGGAUUAAUAUUCGUCAUAAAAUCUGUCAGAACAUAAGGUGGAUUCUUAUCUUCUAACUAAAUUUCCACCAUAUGCAAAAAGAGUUAUGAAUUGAACAUCUUAUCACUUGCUCAAAUGACUCAAAUCCUUUAUCGUUAAUCUUGCAAAAGAUUGAACCGUGGACAAAAAAACUAUAGAUGGAAAAUAUGAAAUUUGCAUGUAUAUAAUUUCAUCAUUAAACUUAGUAACAAUACCGUUUUUCUUUAUAUCCUAACCGUCAUUCCUAACUAAUUUUCGUCUAUAAUUUUGCAAUUACUUUUUUGCAUGAUACAAUUUUUAUUUCGGUAUCUAGAUUUAAGAAUGAUUUGGCAUUAUUGUAUGAAAUUAUGCAUCUAUUAGUCACAGUGUGUUAAACUCAAGUUGUUUGGUGGAUAAACGUAUCACAUAUGUGACAUAAUCUAUUUCCUCAAGUCUCACAUAUAAUUUUUUUUAGAGUGAUUAUUAAUUCAAUAAAAUUAAUAACCACUUGACCAAAAAAAUAAAAAUUAAUAACCACUUACAAUAGAUAGAUCAAAUGAUAAGAGACUUGAAGUAUCUGGUUAAUGGUUUGAUUGGAAAAUCCACGUUGUAUGCUCCACAAAUUUUUGACGGAGAUUAAUUAUGCUAAAUAGCGAGCGGUGAAAACUUUAUACAGAUAACAUGAUAAUAUUUUUUUAAUUGGGUCAAUAUUUAAAAGGAGUUAGUAAACAGGAAUUUGUAAUUAACCAAAUAUUUAUGCAGGCAACAGCAGGUUUAAGGCUUUUGAAUGGGGAUGCUUCUGAAAAAAUACUGCAAUCGGUAACCAUAAGUUUAAUUUUGUUAUUCAAUAGUUCAAUAAUGUUAUAAUUAGCUGUUAGGUGUUAAGCUUAAUUUCGUGCUCCCAUUUAAUUACCUUAGGUAAGGGAUUUGUUCAGCAAUAGAAGUACCUUCAAUGUUCAACCUGAUGCAGUUUCUAUUAUUGAUGGAACCCAAGAAGGUUCUUAUCUCUGGGUAUGACUUAAACUAAAGUUUUUUUUUCUUCUUUCUUUUCUGAAAUUCAUAUAAGAAUAUUAUUUGUGGUAUGUGUUAUGUUUUGAAUAGGCUUCUUUUAAAAAUUACGCUAUUCAAGAUUUGAAUUUCUUGUAUGGUAUACAUCAAAUAUUUUUUAGAAAGGAAAAAUUGUUACUUAGCAUUAUUUUUUGUACAAAAUUAAAAUGUCAAAAUGUUCUUUUUGGUGAAAAAAAAUGAUAAAUUUCAUGUAAUAAACUUGAAAAUUGGAAAAUGAAGAAAUAAGUAGACUAAUUUGUAAACUUGAAACUUGUCAUCUUUAUAGGUGACAGUUAACUAUGCAUUGGGGAAAUUGGGAAAAAAAUUCACAAAAACAGUGGGAGUAAUGGAUCUUGGAGGUGGAUCAGUUCAAAUGGCAUAUGCAGUGUCAAAGUAUACAGCUAAAAAUGCUCCAAAAGUUGCUGAUGGAGAAGAUCCAUACAUUAAGAAGCUUGUACUCAAGGGAAAAAAAUAUGAUCUCUAUGUUCAUAGGUUUAAUUUCCCACUAGUUCUUCAUAUAAUAUAUUGAUUUCUCAUAACAUUUAUACGAUGCAUGCCUAAUAUAUUAAGGGCUUUUAAUUUCUGUCUGCCAGUUACUUACACUUUGGUAGAGAAGCAUCUCGAGCAGAGAUUUUGAAGGUCACACAUAAUUCUCCCAACCCUUGCAUUUUAGCUGGAUUUGAUGGUAAACACAAGUUAUUUUCACAAGUUAUUGAAGUUUUAAGUUGUUUGUUGAAACUUAAUAUAUGCUAAUUAUUUAAGAGAUUAAGUUGGCUGAAACAACUCUCGGUCUAGCCGAUCGUUAGGUCAGGUACCGAGUUUAAAAAAAAAAAAAUACUUGACUUAAACAAAAAAAAAAAACUAAUAUGGUCGAUUUUCGAUUUCACUUUUUUAAUAUUGCAAUUUUUAGAAUUAAUAACAAAUGUUCUGUUUUUCAAAGGGACAUACACAUAUGCUGGAGAAGAAUUUAAGGCCAAUGCCCCUGCUUCUGGAGCCAAUUUUAAAAAAUGCAAAAAGAUAGUUCGUGAGGCUCUUAAAUUGAAUUAUCCAUGUCCCUAUCAGAAUUGCACUUUUGGUGGAAUUUGGAGUGGUGGAGGAGGAAGUGGACAGAGAAUACUUUUUGCUGCUUCAUCUUUCUUUUACCUAGCUGAAGAUGUAUGUAUUAUUAUUGUUAAUUUAUUUCCCAAUUAUUUUGAUAGUGUUCAUUAACAUUAAGCCUUUCUAAUUACAUUGUUUAUUAUUUUAGAUUGGUUUGGUUGACCCAAAUACACCUUAUAGUCUCACACUUCGUCCUGUGGAUCUUGAGACUGAAGCUAAGAAAGCUUGUACAUUAAAUCUUGAGGAGGCCAAAUCAACUUAUCCACUUCUUGUGGAUUUCAAUAUAGUAGAAUAUGUAUGCAUGGAUCUUAUAUAUCAGUACGUGUUGCUCGUUGAUGGAUUUGGUAAGUUUAAAACUUUGAUAUUGUAAUUUGUUGAAAAUUACAAUGAUUAAUGUCUCUAUGCAAUAAUAAUUGAUUUUAUUUGUUGGCAGGCCUAGACCCAUUGCAAGAGAUUACUGCGGGAAAGCAAAUUGAAUAUCAAGAUUCUCUUGUUGAAGCUGCGUGGCCACUAGGCAAUGCUGUAGAAGCCAUAUCAUCGUUACCUAAAUUUGAACGAUUGAUGUAUUUUAUUUAAGCUUCUUGAUAUAUGUUCAAGCACUACAUGCCAGCUUUACCUAAUAUGAAAUAAAACAAGUUUGACAUCUUUUUUCCAUUGAGUUUGUUUAUUUACAUAUUAACUUGUUUUAUUUAUGAGUCUAUGAAGUUUUUCGGUGUAAAAUGAAUAUCCUCCGCGCUCAAGUUUAACGCUGCUGUUAUGAGUAUAUGAAAUUGAGAAUAUUGAUAGCUUGUGGUGGCAAUCAAAUAUUGAAAUUUUUGUAUCCGCAAAAUCUUGGUAACAAUCGAAACAUUAACUUGUUUUUCAAUGUUUUAAGAUAAGGUUUUGAAAAGUUUGUUUGUUUAGUAGCAAAUGCGGAAAAUGGUAAUGAAAAUAUCAAAUUAAAAAGUUGUGGGAUUAGAUUUCAUUAGUUAAUUCUUUGAUGUAUUCUCUUGAUUGAUUAUAUAUUUUUAAUGUUUCAAUUAUAUAUGCAUGCUCAUCAUACAUUUUUAUGUUUGACAAAUGACGAUUGAUCUAUUGUACAUAUUAACUUUCAAUAUCUCACUUAAUUAAUCGAUAUACAAUGGUGGUUCGUGAUUAUAAAUCUACUCUUAUAUCUUGCAACUAACAUCUCCAAAUGAACUUAAUUUCACUUCUUUUCAAUAAAAAGUCUAUGUCUAUCACUUUCUAAAUCAAAUAACCAGUUUUAAAGUUUCACAUCAUAAAAGCUUUAAGUACAUGAAUCAAGUCCUGGAUAUAAUGAAAUAAAUAUUAUAUAUAACUAGUAAAAUCAAGUAUUUGCAUCAACAUCAUAACUAACUACACCUAAUAUCAAGACAAAAAGGAAAUUGGUUGCACAUACUCAUGGUAGCUAGUACAAAGAAAUGAAGAGAAGAUGAAUUUGCAUCAAAGAUUUGAAGAUUCAAGUUUCAAUGCCUCGACACUAAACCGCCAUAAAGUCGUUAAGCGAAAUGUUGUUCUCGUAGCAAAUUACUCUUUGCAGAAUACCUCAAAUGUUUUACUUAAUUGCUUUCGGUUCGCGAUGGCUUGCUCAACGAAUCUCAAAGAUCAGUGUUUCAUUUAACUCUAUGUGAUAUAUGUUGUAUACAUGCGGCCCUUUGUGAUUUUGAUUUGGUCAAAGCUGAUGUUGAUAUAUUUUUUUAUUAAAAAUAUUGUCGAAUGUGCUCACACAUGGAAAUCAAUACAAAUUAAAAAUUAAAGAAAUUACAUAACUGAAAUUAAAACUUAAAAAUAAAUACUAAACAUUAAAAAAAUCUUCUCCUUCAUCUUCAACCCUAAUCUUCAUUCUCAAGAAUCAAAAUCAAUCUAACAAACCAAACCAAACCCAAUCUUCAUAACCGCAUAUCCAAAAUCAUUGGUUUUAAAAACUUGAGGAUAAAAAUACAUUUUACAUAUAUAUAAAAAAUACACACACGAGAUUAACGUGGGUUUUAGCCUUUCGGUGAUGAACUUAACUGAUUAGUGAUGAAGAUGGGUGGGGUCGGAAAAUGAAGGGAAAUCCAAUAAGUUUUGCCCAAGUAGUAAUUGAAUUAAUUACCUUAUAUAUCAAAACAAACAAAAAAGUGAAAUUGAAUUGCCUUGUCUUUAUGAAAGGGAUUUUACCCUUUAUGAAGAACAUAGUACAUAUUAUCGGCAUAUAAAAAAGUAAUAAUGCACCAAAAAGAAAAAAAAAGAAGAAUGCACCAACGGAUUGUGUCUUGUAGAUAAGUAUAGUGAAUGGAUUAUUCUUUUAUGGUCAAGAGGCUUUCGUGUUUUGGUUAUGCAAUGAUAAAAUUAAUUUUAAAAGAAUUACCUAUGUAAAAUUGAUUUUGUUUAAAAAUGACUUGACAAUAAAAUUAUACACUUCUAAAAUGAGUUGACAAAAAUUGUUUCUUUUAAGAAAAAUCAAACAUAUCAAAAUCAAUUAUAUGAUUUUAGAAUCAAGUUUGUCUCAUCCAAAACUAGAAUCUUGUCUAGGUACUUAUAUUAUAUAUUUUAAUUAGAGUGAUGUCUCUUUACUAGUUUUCUUCCUCUUCCUCUUCAAAGCGACCUUUACAUUAUUCGGGAGUGGAAUAUAAGGUGUUUCCCCCUUCUUCUGGCUCAAACUUUGAUGAAUGCAAAGAGAUAACUCUUAAGGUUCUUAAAGUGAAUGAUCCAUGUCCCUAUUCGAAUUGCACUUUUGGUGGGAUAUGGAAUGGUGGAGGAGGAAGCGGAAAAAAAAAAUCUUUUUGUUUCUUCGGCUUUUGCUUACUUAACCGAAGAUGUAAAACAUUAUUGCUCUACCCGAUUUAUCUUGUUAUUUUAAUGGUAUUUUCUAUUAAGCAUAUACACUCGUCGGAUUAGACGUGUCCCAACAUCGGACACGUGUAAGUGUGUAAGUAUUAGUUCUUCAUAGGUUUUUCUUCAAGCAUUUCUAAUGACAUUGUUUACUUUUGUUAGGUUGGUAUGGAUGAGCCAAAUAAACCUAAUUCCAUACAUCAUCCGGUAGAUUUCGAAGUUGAAGCUAAGCGAGCUUGUACAUUAAACUUUGAGGAUGUCAAAUACACUUACCCACGUCUUACGGAGGAAAAGCGUCCAUAUGUAUGCAUGGAUCUCUUAUACCAGCAUGUGUUGCUCGUUUGUGGAUUUGGUAGGUUUUUUGUCUUGCAUAUCUUUUCUCUCUGUUAUUAAAUAAAACUAGCACAAUUUUAUAAAAAAAUUUAACAAGUAAAUGGAACCUAAAGUUUCUCUAAGAAAUUGUUGCAAGUGUCAAUUGUAAUGUUGUCUUGUAUUUGUUGCCAGGUUUAGAUCCUCAACUAGAGAUUACAGUGGGGCGGGGAAUUCAAUAUCAGAAUUCUGUUGUGGAAGCUGCAUGGCCUCUAGCAUUACCUAAAUUUGAGAGAUUAAUGUAUUUUAUUUAGGCUUCUAGGCGAGCUGAAAUAUUUCAAUUCAAGUAUUUCAACCGUAAAAGCCAGCUUUAUCAAAAAUUAAAUUAAAUAAAAGUGGCUUGUUUUGUCUUUCCUUUCUUCCAUACUUACACUGAUCUUGUGGAUAUGGAUCUCCAGCCAUGUUCUUAUGAUGAGUUCGUUUAUUUAAAAAAAUGUUAAUUAUGAGAAAAAGAAACUAAAUGUGUGCUUAUUGUUCCGUACAAAAACUUAUAUAACCUACCGUGAUACAUUUAGUUGAUAUCGCAAAGAGCUGUGCUAUUCGCAGCGAAAGAAAAUGUCCCGAAAAUAUCACAAAUAAUUAAAAUCGGUAGAUCUUGGCUUAAUUGGAAAACAUGGAUGGCCAAAGAUCGAAGAGGUGGAGGAAGGGUAUUAAUGAACUAAAUCGUGAUCUUCUCGUGGUAUAGUUUUUCUGGAAAACACGCGUUUCCCUAUCGCAAAUGUUAGUUUACAUGAAAAAGUCUUAUCAAUUGAGCAAAUGACAUAUCAACUUAUCAAACGACUUGUCUUUAAACACCAAAUUUUACUGUUGAUUAUAAAAUUAUAAGCUCAAACGAUAUUGCAAAAAUAACAUCUCAAGAAAACUAUAAUUUGUUGAGAGAAACUUGUUUACCAAACACAUCUCAUGUGAUCAAACAUGUUUGUAAGUUUUUUUUUUUUUUUUUUUGAUAUAGCUAAAAAUUCAAUAAAUGUUGUUAGGUGCAGCCUGAACCGCAUACAAAAAUUCUCAGAAACAAAUCCAACAGAAAGAAACAAUCCCUCCUAAAACAGAAAGGAGGGAAGAAAAACAGCUAAAGCAUAGAAAAUCUAGUAAAGACAAUUCCCCUAAAAUUCCAAAGGAUGCAUUUCAUGCUUGGUCCUUGAGGUGAACACUAGUCUUCUUAUGUCUAGUUGAAACUCUGACAGAACUGUUAUCAUCUAAGGUUUUAGCAGCUUUCUUCCAGCCUUUCCUGCCUGGUUUAAUAAAACCAUCUUCAUGAGAAUGUUGCAGAAGCUACUGGUCAGCUUCCUUCAAAUUGGCUAGGGUACCAGCUGUGUCUAUAUCAUGCUCCAAUGAGCUUUGACAGUUGCUCUUGUGAGCCUCAUGGUCAUUAUCAUGAUCCAAUGUGUCAUCAGUAGUAUCAGUGUCCUCAUCCCCCCAAUACUUACUCAAGAUUUUACCAUCUUUCAAACAGGCAGCAGACAAAUUCUUAGGGCCAGCAGUGAAGUGAAACUUUCUCCUGUCUUUCCCUAACAUCUCAUCAUUAGUAGUUAUGGGAGAAAUGAUAGGCUGCAGUGUUAAAUUAUCAUGAAAAAAGGAUUCCUAGCAUCACCAAGUGACACAACAGUAGCAUUGGGGGGAUGACAGCCUCCCAAUUUUGCUACUCUGUUCCAGAGAGGAAGGACCUGUAAUGGGGUAUGACAGCCUCCCAUUAUCAGUGUCCUUACUUGAGUUCAAAGCAACAGGUUGAGAGUUCUUUUUGACCAAGUUACCAAGAUCCUCUAUGUUUGUGCUUUGAGCCAAGAUCACCAUCUCUAGGGAAUUUUCUGCCACAUUUGGAUUUUUAUCCAUUUGCAAAUCCAGUAUAGUGUAGUAGAUUCCAAGUCAUUUGGUAUAGCCUCCCCUGUUACCUGCUUAGUAUCUGUCUUACGUAACUCAAAAGAGUUGUGAAGUGUGAGAUUGUCGUCAUUGUGCUGAGCACUAGCAGUUACAUUAUUGUCAUCAAGAAUGAGUUCAACUUCAGUGGUACUAUCUUGUGGUAUUUCUCCUUCCUCACAACCGUGCACUGGGACCUUAUGAGUAAUAUUGUUGUCAUAGGUAGCAGCAGACUUUUUACCAACUGCUGUAACUUUAGGUGGUGGAACUGUGUUAGCAGAAACAACAACAUCAUGCUUAGUGGCCAUAUCAGAGUUUUGUGUUGCAUAGUAGCAAGUUUCUGAGGGACCUUCCCAUUGGCAGCAUUAAGUUUAGAGAAAUUUUGGAUGUCAUGCCCUAAGGCCUUGCAGUGAGAACAAAACAGAGGGUAUUUCUCAUAUUGCACCCCUAUAGUCAAGGCAUGACCAUCCCUUUCCACAAUUAUGGAUUCAAACAGCUUCUCAGACAUGUUGACAUCCACUAAGAUUCUAGCAAAGAGGCCAAAACGCCUGGUUUGGGUUGCCUCAUCAAUGAUGAGAGGAGUUCCCAAACUAGAAGCAAUUUCAAACAAAGUUUGCUUUCCCCAAUACUCUUGUGGGAGUUGCAUUAAUCUGACCCAAACUUGUGCAUGUGUUUGUGCCUAUGCCCUAGGUGCGAAAUCCUUUGUCCAACAAAAGAAUCUUAGAAACCCAGGUUUCAAAUUCAGAGCACCAAUUGCCCAAACCUGUUUCAUAUCUUCAAUUGAACUAAAAUGGAAUUCGAAAAAACCCUUACCAAGAGAAAUCAAGCUCCAAUUCUACAGAUUAGGCCAGAGAUUGUGGAGUUUGGCCUUUAGAGCUUGUGUAGUUAUCGGUGAAUCUCCUUUGUGGAGAGUCAAACGGCCAUGGAGGUUGCAUUGGCACGAAACUAAUCCUGCUUCAUACGCGGCCUGUGAGAUCUUAACACGCGCUGAAUCGCCCAUAAUCACCUUCGGAGGAAGAUUUGCCAUAAAAUUGUUAUCGGACGAAGCACCAGAGGAAGAGUUGGAGAGUGCCUGAGCAAAGGACUUCCCAGAUUCCGGCGAUUGUUGUUUCUUUGUCAGAGGAGCAUCCAAAGAAGCCAUGGGCACACCAUGAUUCAAGGAGAACAGAGAAAUAGGAGGUUCACCGUAGAGGAACCAACGAAGGUGAGAACAGUCCAAAGAGGUGGAGAAGAGGAGAAUCUGUGUAGAUCUGAGAAAUCACCGUGAAGGUGAAGAAAACGCCGUGAAAUAGACGUAGAAAGGUGGGAGAAACAGCGUCGGAGCUACGCUGGUGGUGGUUUAGGUCGCCGGAAAAAAAAAACGGUUACGGUGCACUCUCUCAGCGAGAGAGAAAAUUAGAAAAAUCAUUUUCGUUUAUCAAAGGUGCUUGAGUUAGAGAAUAAUUCUUAAUUGAACAUGUUUGUAAGUUAUUUCUAUAAACUAUAACUUAACUUAUUAAUUAGCAUUACAACAUAGAGUUUCUACGCGAGUUUUUUUUUCUUUCUUUUCUGCCCCUAUCACCAAAAAAUUGAUAUGUUUGCUCCUAGUUCAAUGCCUUUGUUCUUCAUUUAACUUGGCAAACAUAACCAUUUUUUUUCAACUUCAAGCUUUUUCUGCAUCUCCUGUGUGUUUUACGAAUGAAAUGGAGAACAUACCUUUUUUUAAUAUCUUCUUUUGUGUUCUAUAUUUCAAAUGGUGAACAGUCUUUUUUUUAUUUUUUUUUAUUUAUAUUUCAAAUGACAACAUGCCUUAAGUUUGUAUUUUUCGUCUUUUUUGUUUUAAUGAAAGAAAAAGGUUGUUUUUUAAUUAAAAAAUUCUAACUAAAAAAAGAAAAAAGCCAAGUAAAAAAAUUAAUAAGAAUUAAUGUUCGCCAUUUUGAGUGGCAAACAGCUAAUAAAUUUGAAAAAAAAAAUGUGUUCACCAUUAUGAAUAGCAAACAUCAAAAUAGAAAUAAAAAAAAAAGAAAUAAGCAUGUUGGUUAAUUCACAACAAGAACAUGCAGUUGAAAAAUUGUGUAUGUUCGCCAAAUGAAAUGGAGAACAAGGGCAAUUGCAUCAAUACUUUUGAAUAGAGGACAGACAUAUCAUUUUUUUGUGAGAGGACAAGGAAAUAAAAAAUUUCUUUUAACGCAUCCCUCAAUGAUUUUACUUGUUUAACUAAUAUCUUAAUUCCUUGUCAGAAUUAUAUCGUGUUCUGAUUCGAUCAAGAAUAGAUAAUAGUAAUAUAAUAGAGCACCCAUACCCAUAUCUCUAAUGAGUCUAUCUUAGCCAACGAAUUAAGACAUAAUUUAAGAGAAAGAAAACACGAGAUAAUCACGUUUCUUAAAUUAUUAUUUCAUCUUCACUUUUUCCAUUUAUACAUAGUGGAUUGUGAAUCAUAACCAACACAUUCUGGAGCUAGCUAGCUAGUUUCAAAAUUGUUAACAUGGAGUUCCUAAUUACACUCAUUACCACUUUUUUACUCUUGUUAAUGCCUGCAAUCACUUCCUCCCAAUAUUUAGGAAACAACCUACUCACUAAUCGAAAGAUUUUCCAAAAACAAGAAACCUUAACAUCUUACGCUGUCAUAUUUGAUGCUGGUAGCACUGGUACUCGUGUCCAUGUUUACCAUUUUGACCAGAACUUAGAUCUUCUUCACAUUGGCAAUGAUAUUGAGUUUGUUGACAAGGUGAGAUUUUAAAAAAUUACAUUAAUUAAUUAAUAUCUCUUAGUAGUACAUUUUUUGACAAGUCUUCAUUAAUUAAUUGUUGUGAUGUAGAUCAAACCAGGUUUGAGUGCAUAUGCGGAUAAUCCUGAACAAGCAGCAAAAUCUCUCCUUCCACUUUUGGAGGAAGCAGAAGAUGUGAUUCCUGAGGAUAUGCACCCCAAAACACCCCUUAGGCUUGGGGUGAGUUUUCUAGUCUCUCAUCCAUUUUACUAUUUCUCACCUGUUAUGUUUUUUUGAGUGAAUAUCAAAAAUGAAUUUUCGACAUCGGAAUCCUCUUUAUUUAUCUCAAUUACAAUAUCUCAACCAUCAAAAUAAAUCUUCUUAUUUAUUUGUAAGUGAAUCUAGUUUUCUCUCAUGUUUGAUGAUUGAGACGUUGCAGUAUAAAAAAAACAUGGACUUUCCUUUGGUUGUUCCUCAUCUUCAUAAAAUCUUUGUGCGUAUAAAAUAUUCUUAAUUACGGUAUAGUGUAAGAUCUUUCUUCUCAAUGACACCUCAUGGAUAUGGGUUGUGGUAACUCAACCCUAUGUGGCGGCUAGUGAGUCUCAUCUAGACUAUCCAAUUAAGACCAAACUUUGAGUUUGAUAUUAUAAAUAAAAUAAAAAGUCAAAAUCGAUAUUAAAAUCUAAAUUGUCUGAUCUUCAUCCAAAGGUUUAUAUAUGUUUACAAUCACAAUGUAGACAAUCCAAAUCUAUCAAUUAUAUUUUGAUUUUCAUCGUUGUAUAGGUUGCGAGAUAUGACUUCUUUUAAAUAGGGAUUAGAACAUUUAAGAAUUUUUAAGACUUUGAAAAUAUAAAUUUUAUGUUUCAAAAUUUACAAUGAGAACAAUUGAAUAAUAUUGUUAUAAUUUAUCUUUUAAAAUUUAAAAUUGAAAAAAUAUAAUAAAGAAAGUUAAAAUAAUUGUUGAGUUAAAGUGUCAGUAGUUAAGUUCUAAAUUAACUAUGAACGAAUAUAUUAUUAGAGAUAUAAAAGAUGUGACAUAUUCUUAAUUUUUUAAAGUUUUCGUAGACCAGAGAUGAAAGGUUUCUCCCUUUUGUAAAGAUUAAUAUUAUAAACAAUGAAUGAAAAGAGUUAGUUUGAAAAUAUAAGAUCGAUAGGUGGAUCUUGUAAAAAGAGAAAAUCAAAUAGUGAAAAUAGAAAGUUAGAAGAGAAAUGAUAUUUGUACAAUUAUUUGUGACAAAUUUUUGACAAUUUUCUCUCUCAUACUCACGUUAUUCUCUUAUUCUCUUUCUUCCUUUUUCUCUCUCCGUUAUUUUUGACCAAUAAAAAUAGAAAAAAAAGAAAUUGUCACAAAAGUUGUAUCAAAUAAUUGUUCAAAUAUCACAAGUUAAAAACACACACUUUAACAAAUAAUAUGAGGAAAAUUCCACCUGACUACUUUUUUUAGUAUUUCCUUUCCCGCAUUAAUUUGCAUUCAAGGCUGAUAUUUGUACGGUGUCUGUCUAUACCGGUGGUUACCUUUUGGAAUUCAAACUCUAGUUAUUAACAUACUAACACACUAACAAACUAACAUUUCACUAUAAAAAAUGUAGAGACCCUAGCUAUACUAAUAACAUAUUUAAGUCCCUUUAGAAAAAAACAUAUUUAAGCCCAACGCACAUAAAUGUUCAAUUGGUUAAACAUGUAAACGACAGCUUUAGUACAUUAACAUCUUUUCCAAAUGUAUAUGAUAAUAAUGCAGGCAACCGCAGGUUUGAGGCUUUUGAAUGGGGAUGCUGCCGAAAAGAUAUUGCAAGCGGUAACCAUAAUUAAGCAUUAUUUGCUAUCUAAUUGUUCAAGAUUUUAGCAACUAUACCUUAAUUGGGUUUCAAAUGCCUAAAGCUUUUGUUUUCUAGACAAGGAAUAUGUUCAGUAACAGAAGUACCCUCAACGUUCAAAGUGAUGCAGUUUCUAUUAUAGAUGGAACCCAAGAAGGUUCUUAUAUGUGGGUACGUAUGAUUUAUAAAAGGUUUAAUGAUGUGUUUCAUCCUUGCAAUUAGGUGUCAUUUAAAAAUUAGUCGCUGUAAUCGCUAAUCCUGACAAUUUACCCUUGCAUUGUUUAAUCAUUUAAAAUUUCGUCCUUUGACCAACUUAAUCACUACCAAGUCAUCAAAUUAGCAAAAUGGCAUAGGAAUGGACAAAAAUACCCUCGACUUUAUUAUGAGAAGAAGAUGAAGAUAGGGGUAAAAAUGUCAUUUCACGAAUGGAUGACGAGGGUAUUUUUGUCCAUUCCCAUGUCAUUUUGCUAAUUUGAUGUCGUGACAGUGAUUAAGUUGGUCAAAUGACGAAAUUUUAAAUGAUUAAACAAUGUAAGAGUAAAUUGUCAGGAUUAGCGAUUACAGGGACUAAUUUUUAAAUGACGCCUAAUUGCAAGGACGAAACACAUCAUUAAGCCUUUAUAAAAUUACAUUUUCUUUAUGGAUUUUGUUUUUUGGCAGAAUAUAUUGUUAAUAAGUGUUUGUACUAUAUAUUUUCAUUAUAAUUGUGUGGUAUUUUGUGCCCUGGAUUUAAAUUGGCAACCUUGUCAUCUUUAUAGGUGACAGUUAACUACAUAUUGGGGAAUUUGGGAAAAAGCUUCACAAAAACAGUGGGAGUAAUUGACCUUGGAGGUGGUUCAGUUCAAAUGACAUAUGCUGUGUCAAAGAAAACAGCUAAAAAUGCUCCAAAAGUUGCAGAUGGAGAGGAUCCAUAUAUAAAGAAGCUUGUACUCAAGGGAAAGCAAUAUGACCUCUAUGUUCAUAGGUUUUCUUCUAAUUCUUUUUUCUUUUUUAUUGAAGAGUUUUUUUUUUUUUUUUUUUUGUAAUUCUUGAUGUAUAUAUGAAUGUACAAUGAGUAAUUAAUUUAUUAUAUUAAGGUCUUAAUUUCUUUCUUGUAGUUACUUGCGCUUUGGCAAAGAAGCAACUCGAGCACAGGUUUUGAAUGCAACUAAUGGAUCUGCUAACCCUUGCAUUUUACCUGGAUUUAAUGGUAAUUAAGCGUGUGAAAAGCUUCAAAUUUCAAGUACAUUUUUAUAUAUACUGCUAUUUUAUUUUGAUGACCAUAAAGAAUACAAAUAACAAAGGAAUUACUUUUUUUUUCUCUUCAAAGGGACCUUUACAUAUUCAGGAGUGGAGUACAAGGCUUUUUCCCCUUCUUCUGGCUCAAACUUUAAUGAAUGCAAAGAGAUAAUUCUUAAGGUUCUUAAAGUGAAUGAUCCAUGUCCCUAUUCGAGUUGCACUUUCAGUGGAAUAUGGAAUGGUGGAGGAGGGAGUGGACAAAAGAAACUUUUUGUUACUUCAGCUUUCGCUUACCUAACUGAAGAUGUAAAAUACUAUUGCUUUACAUGAUAGUGCGGUGAUUAUGUUGUUUUAAUGUUAUUCUUCAUGCAUUUCUAAUGGAAUUUUUUUAUUUUUUUAGGUUGGUAUGGUUGAGCCAAAUAAACCUAAUUCCAUACUUCAUCCAAUAGAUUUCGAAAUUGAAGCUAAACGAGCUUGUGCAUUAAACUUUGAGGAUGUCAAAUCCACUUAUCCACGACUUACAGAAGCAAAACGUCCAUAUGUAUGUAUGGAUCUCUUAUACCAGCAUGUGUUGCUCGUUCAUGGAUUUGGUAGGUUUCUUGCACUAUGAAAUAAAUACUAUUUAAAAAAAAAAAAUUCUAUCAUAAGUACAACUCAAAUGGUAAAAAAUACAAAACUUUUGAUAUAUUAAGGCGCGAGUUCAAACCCGCACUAGUACUAUAUCUACACUUAGUAUGUCUCGGUGUUGCUGUCAGGCUAUUUGAAACCAAAAAAGCAAUUUUACAUGGAUCAUACCUUUAUCUAAGAAAUUGUUGGUCAAAUGUUUCGAUUAUAAUGAUUGUCUUGUAUUUGUUUGCAGGCUUAAGUCCACGAAAAGAGAUUACAGUAGGUGAAGGAAUUCAAUAUCAGAAUUCUGUUGUGGAAGCUGCAUGGCCUCUAGGUACUGCUGUGGAAGCUAUAUCAACGUUACCUAAGUUUAAGCGAUUAAUGUAUUUUAUUUAAGCUUUUAGAGAUGACAAGAUAUUUCAGUAACAGCUAACUUUAUCAAAAAUUAAAUAAAACUGGCGCAUUUUGUCUUUCAUUUCUUACAUCACAUACUUAUAUUGAUCUUGUGCAUUUGGAUCUCCAUGUUCUUAUGUUGAGUUCGUUUAUUCUUAAAAACGGUUAAUUAUGAGAAAAUGAAAAUGAAAGUAUGUUUGUUUUUGUCACUGAAAAAAUCUAUUAGCUAAUGUGAUAAAUUCAGUAGAUAAUUUUUAACUGAUUUUUGGCAAAAAGCUGAGCUAGAAAUUAAAAAAAAGAUGUCUUUUAAAGUUUGAUUUCCCAUUUACGUAUAUAACCUUAGCCCAAACAGUUAGAUGCUUUGGAUAGUUCCAUUAGUAAUGAGAGUGAAUUGAAUUAUUAUUGGUAAAGCAUGUUGACGCAUAACGGAUGCAAGAAUUAGCAAGAGUUAAACCUAAGAGCUAAACAAACAAGUUGCAAGCAACAAAUAUGUCAAAUAAGGGUUUUCGGAAUCCACCAUAAUUGAGAAAAUUCUCGAUAAUUUUAUUGAAUAUGAAAAAUUGUCUCCCAAGCCACGAAAGUUUAGUUUAAAUACUAGAGAAAUAACAAAACAUAAUGGGCCGAAAAUAACAAACUAAAAUAAAACCGAAAAAUAAUAAAUUUGCUGAAAUAAUACAAAUGUGGUUUUGGGCCUUCGGAUGAUUUUGAACGCCUAAAUUCACCCAUACGUGAACUCCGGGGCUUUCCAAAAAGGUAUAAUCAUCAAUCCGACAUCGGAUGCUAAAUCUACACUAUUCUCAUUGAACCUUUUUUGCACGUCACUUCAUCUUCGAUACGUGCAGCCAAUUUGCUUACAUCACAUAUAAGAGUUCCAAUUGCAAAAGUUCAAACUAAUUUGAUUUUACCCUCACCUUGUGUUAGGAAGCUAAAUCCUAUCACUAACAAAACUAUAGAAAACUAGGAUUCUAAGCUAAAAGAACAAGAGAAUAGAAAUCAGAAAGAAAGUUCCAUGGUUCAGCUGUUAGAAAGUUCCAUGGUUCAGCUGUUAGACAAAGUAAAAGAUUAUUCAUUGUGGUGGCCUAAGGCUCAUAAGGCUGUUUUUGUUUUUGGUGACCAAUUGUGGUGGUCGAGUCCUUUGUCUUGUUUAGGCAUUGGCUGAUCUCUUGGUGUAACUUUGACUGAACUGCUUGUUCUUUUUUAGUGGUCUUUUUGGUAAACCUUAUGCUGAGAGGACUGCUAUAGCACUCUUAAUAUAAUCCAAAUUUGUCUGUUAAAAAAAAAAAAAAAAAAAACUAUCUAAGAGAAAAUAAAAUAAUUUUUCAUUCAUUUUACUCCAUUUCCCUAAUGAGACAAUACACUCAAUAUAUAUAAUAAAUAGAUCAUAAGUUAUUGUGGCCCUACGUCUCCCCAAAUUUAAUGUGAAUUUUUUCUGCCUUAGCAUGCUCCUUGCCAUGUCUAGUACACUUAUAUUUCUUCUUUUUGUAAGUCGAUUAUGUUAAGACCUGUUGGGUGUUUUUACUUCAUGUAUGAUUCCUUGACUUGAACAAUAAGCCUCAACUCUCUUGAGGUGUACUCCAGACCUCCAUCAAAUCUGAGAAUCUUCAGCAUCUUCCCACUUUGCUUCAAAUUUCAAGAGAAAGAAACGUAUGAACAAGAAACUAAUUGCUAAAAUACGUCAAAAAAACAAUAAACAACAAAAUGUGUAAAUGGUAGUAUUCCAACCAAACAACAAAAUGUAUGAACAUUACAUAUAUCAUUUGAAUGACUAGUAAGAUUGAAAUCAUGUGAAGAAAUGAGUGAACUCCUUAAUUUGAAGAUGAAACACAAGAACUAAUGCAUGCAUGGCACAUGUCUUAUCAAACUUAUAAACUAUCUUAACCAACUUCAAUCUUUCCUUGCACGUUGUUUCUUAAGUAGUUAGUUGAAUGCAACAUUGCCAAUUCUUGAAAUUCCAACCCAUGGUGACCUUUUCAAACGUGACAUGUCUGACCUUCGAAGAUUUACUCUUUGAAUGUAGCUUUUACUCGAAUAAAUCAUCUCAAGAAUAUUUAAAACUGUUUGUUUAUGCACAUGAAAAAAAUCUCAUUCAACUUACACCAUCGGUUUCAAAACUAAAUUUUGAACUUUUCAUCAUAUAACAAAGUGUUGUUCUGUGGUAAAAACUUUUAACUAAAGAAAAUUAUGUGGUGAAAACAUAGUGUAUGUUUAGUUCUACGAUGAUAAAAAUUGAUUUCGAGUGAAUUAAUUUUAGAAAAUUAUUUGUUUAAAAGUAAGCUGAAUGUAAAUGAUUUAUGUUUAGAUAUGUUUAUGUAGUAAAACUGAGUUGAACAAUAAAUUUAAGUCUAAAAGUAAAUUAUAAAAUUAAAAACUACAAAUUCUAACUUUAAAUAAAAUCAAUUAAAAAUACAAAAUUAAUUCCACUCAAUUUUUUAAAAAAAACUACAAAUUCUCAAUUUAAAUAAAAUCAAUUAAAAAGACAAAAUUAAUUCUACUCAAUUUUUUUUGUACAAAUUCUACUCAAAAUUAAAUAUUAAAUAUACAUGUCAAAAUCAAUUUUAAAUUUCUACGAUCAAAAAAUGGAACCAAAUAUGCAUCCGGUGUUUAACCUUAAGUUUAAAAUCUCAAUGCAACUACAAAAAGAGAAUUUAAUUUUUUUUUUUGAUGUGACGGUUUAUACGAGCAACUCUUCCACAGGCACAAACCUAAAUGAAAAUCAUUUGGACACACACAUUUAAAAAGUAUAAAUAAAUAAAUAAAUUAGUUACAUUAUUUUUUACUUUUAUCUCUUAAUUUUGUUUAUCUAUGAAUGUGUAUCUAAGAUCACACCCAAUGGUGAGGUCGUAACCAUUUAAUAUACACCCCCAUUACGAAAGGGAAAAAAAUUUGGGGUCUUAUAGGACCUAGGGUCUCACAUUAGCAUCUUAUUCUUAACUUUUCAUUAAAUUAAUUAGUUUGCAAUGUUUGUUUGGUAUGCUAUGUUGACUCAUUUAAAACGUUUGUUAGAGGUGUUGCAUUUGAGUGAUUGAAUGCGUAUUAGGUACUAUUAUUUAAAAAUUUACAAAUAAAUGAUAUGUACACGUGAGACUUGUUUAAGUAUUCAAAAUUGAAUAUCUACAUUGCGGAUGCUUUAGCUGUUUUUUAUUUGUGUUUCUGACGGACCAAACUUUCUCCAUAUAUACCAUGUGCACCAAUUAACAAAGGACAAAAUACAUCUUUUUCUACCGGGAAAGACAAAAUACUCCUUAUCAACUUAAGCUGGAAGUAGAAACCUAUGGUCAAUAUGCAACUUUGAUAAAAUACCACAAAUAUAUAAAUAUCCAAAGAUAGGUGCAUUUCCUCGUGAAUCACGCCUAUGAAAACAAUUGUUUUUCAAACAUAGGUGCAUUACCUCGUGUAUUUUUUGUAUGAUUAUUUAAUUCUUUUUUUAUAAAGGUGUAUGAUUAUUAACUUAAAUAAUUGUAAUUUCUUAAAAUUUAUAUUUUUUAAAAACUCUUUAUAACCAUUAAAAUUAGAUUUUAAAUUAAGAAUUAUAUGAAUAUGUGCAUAAAUUUUGUCCUUCUUUUUGUACAAACAAGACAAUAGCUAAUAUCAUUGACAUAUUAGUUUUGUGUUUAUUUAAAAAUAAUAUGUUAGAUCACUUUUUUUCUAAAGUUAAUAUCAAUCAAAUAUAUAUAUAGAUUUUUAAAUGGACUAAUUAAUAAAUAGGGGUACAAUACUUCCCCUCUCCUCUCCUCCUUAAACAAAAAAAAUAAAUAAAUACCUCCCCUCCCCAAAUAAACUAAAGAUACAUUACUUUCAAAAAUGUCAAUCUCUUACCUAAAAAUAAACAUAUGAUUAGUAAGGUCAGAUUUGCAGCAUAAUAUUUUAAUCAAAUUGGAAAUACUCCUUCAACUCCUCAAACUAAUUAUAUAUAUGCUAGUUGUUUUAUAACCGGUUUCAAAAUAGUUUCCCUUCCCACUAUCUCUUCCUACAACAAGCAUGGAGUUUCUAAUUAAACUCAUCACAUUUCUACUCUUCUUGAUGCCUACAAUCUCUUCCUCCCAAUAUCUUGGAAACAAUAUACUCACCAAUCGUAAAAUAUUUCCAAAACAAGAAACUCUAACCUCGUACGCUGUCGUCUUUGAUGCUGGUAGCACCGGUAGCCGUGUUCAUGUCUACCAUUUUGAUCAGAACUUAGAUCUUCUUCACAUUGGCAACGAUGUUGAGUUUUAUAAUAAGGUUAUUAAUUAAAUAUUACAUCUUGGCUUUACAAGUUUCGUAAGAAAUAAAUAAUAUAUGUUCUUGAAUUAUGGACAGAUUUAUUUAUUUUUUCUUCUUAAAUUACUAUCGUUACUUAAACUUUUGUUAAUGCAUGUAUGAGUUAUAAUAUCUUCAUUGUGUUCAUGUUGUAGACAACACCCGGUUUGAGUGCAUACGCAGAUAAUCCAAAGGAAGCAGCAGAGUCUCUGAUUCCACUUUUAGAGCAAGCAGAAAGAGUGGUUCCUGUUAAUCUGCAACCCAAAACACCCGUUAAGCUUGGGGUGGGUUUUCUAACAAUGUCUUAAUUUUGAUGGUUGACUAUCACUUUUUUAUUUAGAUUAUAACUUUUUUUAGAGGAGAUUACAACUUAAAAUUUAGUAACUUUUUUUGUAAAUUAAUACUAAAAAACCAAAAUUAUUUGUCAUGUUUGUUGUAGAAAACAAUAUUUGUUAAUGUUGAAUCAUUACAGAAAUUUAUUAAGAGAAAAAUAUGAAACUUAUCUUUAUUUCUUUUUUUUUUUUUUUUUAGUACAAAUCUUAUCUUAGGUGUCAAUUAGCUACAGAAAUUUACUUUUUCUAUUAUUAUUUUUUUUGUGUCAAUUAGUCUUGUGAUUAGAAAUUAACCUUUUUAAGAUAAAUAAGUAGAGAAUCAGGAUUUCAAAAUUAGCCUCUGGAUAUAUUAUACGAUAUCUCUAUCAAUUGAGCAAUACUCACCACGACUUUUUACUUCUUAUUUUGGUCAUUAAUUCUCUAGUGUUUUCUUCUAAUAAUAAAACUUUUUUUUAAAAAUUUAUAUGAUAAUGCAGGCAACAGCCGGUUUAAGGCUUUUGGAUGGAAAUUCUUCCGAAUUGAUAUUGGAAGCGGUAAUUGUAUAUAUGAACUUCAUUUCUUAUGUUGUUUAAUGUUUUUAACACUUUUUUGGGUCUUAAAUGUUUACAGCUUUCAUUUCCAUAUCUUAGGUGUCGAGUUUGCUCAAAAAGAGAAGCACGUUUAACGUACAAUCAGAUGCAGUAGGAAUUAUUGAUGGUACACAAGAAGGUUCUUAUUUAUGGGUAUGACAUACACUGAACUAAAAGUGUUGUUUAUAUUCUAUUUUUCUGAUAAUAUAUUUGUGAGUAAAUAGACAAAUUAAUCUUUACAAUUAUUAUAAGUAUUGAUUAAAAUAUUAUUUGGUUUUUGAGAACGAACUAUAAGCAAAAGUGGUAAUUAAAUGGUUAAUGUAUGAGAGAGUAUAAUAUAAACUACAUACAUCAUUGAUUGAAUGAAUCUAAAAGUCAAAAUUUACUUAUAUUAAAAAACGGAGGGAGUAUCUUAUUAAUGAGAAUAUGUUGUUUGGUGAAAAUGAGAAUGUAAUGUGGAAUGAAAUUAAAAACAUUGUUGAAAAUAUUUGUGUUUUACCUUUUUAAUGUUGGAAACAAAAAAUUGUAUUGUCUCGAAAAAAAACCGCACCAAUCGAUCCAACUCAAACCACAUUGGUUUGGUUUGGUUUGGUUCGGAUUGUAUUUUAAAAGUCAACCGAAUCAAACCAAACCGCAUGUUUUUUUAUCUUGCAGUUCGGAUGACUUUUAACCUCAAAACCGAACCAAACUGCACCGCGAACACCCCUAGGUAAAAGGUAGUGAUUUUAGCACGACGUCCAAGAUGUGAAUUUAUUCUUCACAUUAAAUGUUGAAACUUACUAUAAAUACAAUACCCUAAAAAAAUUUCAAUAAUAUCUGUCAAUAAUAACCGAUACAAAUCACACCGCAAAAACCCCUGCUACAUGAUAAAAUUGUUGCAGCGAAACCAUUUUAUUUUAUUUUUGAUAGAGUAGUGGAAACAAUUUGAAAAGUGCUUUCCUAACCUUGCAACAUUUGUGUAGGUGACAAUUAACUAUGUUUUGGGAAACUUGGGAAAAGAUUUUUCAGAGACAGUGGCAGUAGCUGAUCUUGGAGGGGGAUCAGUUCAAAUGGUAUAUGCAGUCUCAAGAGAACAAGCAAAAAAAGCUCCACAAGUACCUCAGGGAGAGGAUCCAUACAUAAAAAAGAUUGUACUUAAAGGAAAGAAAUAUUACCUCUAUGUUCACAGGUUUUAUUCUUAUUCUUGGAUAUAAAUUACCAUUUACCAGUGUGAAAAAAUGUUUAGAUAUAUAUAUGUCUUGCUAAUGUUUAUUUCUUUCAGUUAUUUGCGGUUUGGCAAAGAAGCAUCUCGUGCUGAAAUUUUGAAAGUCACUAAUGGUUCUCCUAAUCCUUGCAUUUUAGCUGGCUAUCAUGGUAAACACACGCAACUUCAUUGAUUUACACAUAUCUUUCUAGCAUAAACCAUUCUUAUAACAUGAACCUUUUUAUUCUGCAAAGGCACAUAUACAUAUUCAGGAGAGGAGUAUAAGGCAUUUUCUCCUGCUUCUGGCUCCAACUUUGAUGAAUGCAAAGAGAUAAUUCUUAAGGCACUUAAAGUGAAUGAUCCAUGUCCUUAUGGGAAAUGUAGUUUUGGUGGGAUAUGGAACGGUGGAGGAGGAAGUGGGCAGAAAACUCUUUAUGUUACAUCAUCAUUUUAUUACGUGCCUACAGGGGUAUGUAUCGAGGAUUUCAUGUCGGAUUUCAUGACAUUCACUCAUUUGAUGACCAUUUGAUCAGAAUAGGCAUUUUUUGAACUGGAUCUUGAUCGAACUUCGACUAAUAUUAUUUGUACACGUGUAGGUUAAUAUUGCUGAUCCAAAUAAGCCCAAUUCCAAAAUUCGUAUCGAGGAUCUGAAAACUGGAGCUGAGCAAGUCUGUAAAACAAAAUAUAAGGAUGCCAAAGCCACAUAUCCACUUAUUUAUGAGGAUAGUCUUCCAUAUGCAUGCUUGGAUCUUAUUUACCAAUAUACAUUGUUUGUUGAUGGAUUUGGUAAGUUUGCAUGCUUGAAAUUGCAUUCACUAUUAUUUUACUGUCAUAUUCAAAUUAAGAUGACAUACUCAAAAAUAGGAGCAUACCUCUAGUAUUCUUAGGCAACCUAAGUUAAUGUCUUUUAAGUUAACAAAAAACAUCUAUUUGUUGACGCAGGCCUAGACCCAUUGCAAGAGAUUACCGUGGCAAAUCAAAUUGAAUAUCAAGAUGCCCUUGUGGAUGCAGCAUGGCCUCUAGGCAAUGCAAUAGAAGCUAUAUCAUCAUUGCCCAAAUUUGAUCCUUUCAUGUACUACUUUAUUUAAGCUUCUAGAAUUAAAUAUGGGAUACUUUAGUGUUAAACACUAAGAGCUGUAUCAUCAACACUCUCUCUAAUACCCACUAUCUUAUUAGUUUAUAUCAUUGUGGUCUGCAUUUUGAAAAUAGAAGACAUACAUUGAUUCCAUUCGACAAAAGAGUGGAUGUUAUACAGGGUGUUCAAACGUAAGUGUUGCCAACAUUCUUUAUAAAAUAAACAUAAAACAUCUAAUUUUUCAUUAAUUUUGUUGCAUAUGGCUCGCUUAUGUUAUGGUUAAAAUAGUAAAGCAGAGCAGUUGUUGCAACAUCAAUCAAAUUUUGCUUUAAAUUAAUCAAUUAUCAAUGGCGUCGACCACGUUGGAGAUCCGAAGACAUGAGUAUUUUAGAUACUUGAAUAUAAUCAUAUGUGUAGACUUUUGUACUUUGUCAUUUUGUGCCAUUAACAUAAAUGUUGUGAAUUUGUUCGUAGAUUCAUCCUUUUUAAUUUUAGCAAAUAUACAACAUUAUUAAUUUAAAUGAAUGAAUAUGAUUUAUUUUUGUAAAAAUAAAAUAAAAAUAAUGUGUAAUGAAACGAAGAUUUUAUGCAGAUCGUCCCAUUGGAGUUGCGGGGAAAUUGUGGAUCUUAUAAUAUAUAUUUCAUCUCUAUGUAAACUUUCCUUUUUGUUCAGAUAAGUAUUCUUCGUUUCUAUGUUAAAAUUUAAUAGGUAAAAUCUCUUAUCUUUUUUUUUUUUAACUUUGUUUCCAUUCUUUUUUUUUAAAUCUAAUUUUUGUGGAAUGAUUGUCAUAAUAUUCUACUCGUUUUUGAAAAAUUUCAUUAAAAAAUAUGAAGGUUAGAUAUGAGAUGACUCGGCAAAUACACAUCUUUAAAUGACUCGACAAAUACACAUUUUUAAAUAGCAUCAUCGUCAAAUAUCACAUCUUUAUAUAACACAUUUUUAAAUCACACAUCUUCAAAUAGUAUAUCUUUAUAUAACACAUUAUUUUCACAUCGUGGAAUAACACAUCAAUUUCACAUCAUCAAAUAAUUCACAAAUCACACUUAAUUAAAUAAUUCCUCAAUUAAUAUCUAACCAAUUCAAAAGAUAUGAUAAUGAAAAUAACAGACAUUUAUUCAUGCUUUUGAUCAAUUGAUAAAAAAAAAAAAAUGAAAAUCAAGUAACAGUUAGAAUAUCACAUGGAAUUUAAAUAAAAUAGACAUGGCAACCAGGAGCGAGCACGGCAAUAUGAAUUGAAUGGAACAACAACGUGAAAGAAACAAGUAGAAAAUAUAUGGGUCACGGCUGACAGUAAGGAUCAAACAACUCUUUAAUUGAAAUUGAAACAGGGAGGCAAGGCAACAUCAAGUAAUUGAUUUGGAUUCGCACGACACAUUUAUGAUUUUCCAACAAUUAAAACUCAAUUUAACAGCUACGAAUUCAUAAACAAUACGACAACAACAAUAAGAAGUAACACGCAGGAGUAAUAAGAUUAAAGUACACAACAAGCAAUUAGAGCACAAAUUUUAAUUUAAACAUAGAUUCAUCAAAUAAGGAAACAACAAAAAAUAACAACCUGUCACUACCCAUAUGUUCAUACAACCUUAUGAUGAAUAUAACUCCCCCCUUACCUCUAGUUUUGCGAAAUUGAUGAUUUCCUACGUUGAAAUCUCUCUAAGUUCUUCUGGCUAUUCCUCUUUGCCUCUUCUCUCCAUAGUCGGUAACCCUUUUUCUCUCAUUCUCUUCUCUAUUUAUAAGCUUUAAUAGAGUUUGUUAUCAAUCUUUUUAUGUUAAUAUAUGUCCUCUAGAUUUGUUACUAAUCUUUUCAUAUUACUAUUUGCACCUCUAUAUUUUGUUACUAUUAUUUCUGUAACUACACUGUCUUGCUAUUCACACUCCCCUCUACUUAAAUCAUUAAAGUACUACUCAUCUCACUAACUACACCUCUUUUCUUCCCAAUUUUACUGAUCCUCCCGUUCUCACUCUAAUUUCUUAUUUUCUCUACAAAAAAAAAAAAAAAAAAACUCUAUUUUCCUUCUAAAUAUUAUUUUCUCUCACUCUUUAAAUGACUAAUCAACCCACUCAUUACCUAUUCUUCCAAUAAAUACGAAUAUUUAAAUUAAUACUAUCUAAAAACAUAUACUAAUACUAACAUUAAUACUAAUAUUAUCUAAAAUUAAUAUUAAUAAACUAAUAUUCAAAAUCGAGGUGUUAUAAAUGAUGUAAGACGAAUGAAUAAGACGGAAAUAUCAGUAACACGAUGUCAAUAUCAAACUCCCAUAUAUAAAAUAUGCACCAAUUAACAAGGACAAUAUACUGCUUUUUCUUUUAGGGAAGGAAAACAAUACUUCUUAUUAACUUAAGCUGGAAGCAGAAACCUAUGGUCAAUAUGCAACUUUGAUAAAAUACCACAAAUAUAUAAAUAUCCAAAGAGCUUUGUUAAUAAAAUAUAUACACCAUCCGGUUAUUACUACAAGCAAAAAUUCACAUUUUAGGUUCAUUCAGUAAAUGAUGUCAACAUAUAUCAUUUAUCGAAGGGUUAAUAGUAUUUUACCCCCUGUAAUAUAGGUCAUUUCCAGUUUUCACUUCUUUAAAAUUUUCUUUUUAGAUUCCGUCCUUGUAAUUUGAAGUUUUUUGGUUUUGGACCUUCAUGAAUUUUAACUGUACAAAAUCGAUGAUAUGGCAGGGGGUAAACCGAAAUUUUUUCAAAUUGCAAGGGGGUAAACCGAAAUUUUGUCAAAUUACAGGGGAUAAAAUUUUUCAUGAAGGUCUAAAACAAAAAAAUCUUCAAAUUACAAGGACGGAAUCCAAAAAAAAUAUUUUAUAGGGGGAAAACCGGAAAUGACCUAUAUUACAGGGGGUAAAGCAUUAUAAACCUUUAUCGAAUGAACCUAAAAUAUAAAUUUUUGUGUAUAAUAAUAACAGAAAGGACUAAAUGUACUAACAGUGAAAAACUUAGAAAACCGAAAUAAAUCAAUUUUUAGUUAGAGUACCAAUCUGAUACCAAUUUAUAGAUUAUGGGGCAGCGAUGAUUGUGAGUGAGAGUUUUUACCUUCUGAGGGGAAUAAUGGUGGUAUUCUCUCGAUUUGGCAUAAAUCUAUGUCGACGGUGCAUUAUACGUUUGUGGGAGAAGGUUUUGUCGGAUUAUCGUUGGAGUGAGGGGUUUUAAAGCAUAGGUGUGUUAUUAUAAAUGUUUAUGCAAAAUGUGAAUCGGUGGCCAAGAGGCGGUUGUGGGAGAGAUUGUUGUUGGCUAGAAGAAAUUUGGGGAAGGGGCAUGGUGUGUUCUUGGAGAUUUUAAUACCGUAAGUAGUAGGGAAGAAAGAAGGGGGAUUCAUGAUGAUGCGUCCACAAGUCAAGUUUUAGAUAUGGAUUUCUUCAUUAGAUUUCUAAUCGAAGUGGAGUGGAGUUGGAGGAUCAAAUGGUGGCAGGGAGAAGGUUUACUUGGUAGCACCCUAAUGGUCGGUCAAUGAGCCGGAUUGAUAGAGUUUUGGUGUCGAAGGAAUGGAGGCAUUUUUGGGGGGAUGUGAAUCUUUGGGUCCUUCCAUGGGACGUUUCUGAUCAUUGUCCUUUUCUCCUAAAAGUGAAAGGUUGGGAUUGGGGCCCAAAACCGUUCUGUUUUAAUAAUUUUUGGUUGGAUAAUGGUGAUAUUAAGAAGAUGGUGGAAGAAGUUUUGAGGUCGAGUAAUUUAAGUGGGUGGAUGGGGUAUCUUUUGACGGACAAACUCAAUUCUUAAAGGGAAAUUGAGGGAGUGGAAUAUGGGGGUUUGGAUGACCGGGUGAAGAGGUUGACGGAGGAGAUAGUGGUGUUGGAUGUGUGGGGGGAGGUUGGAGGUUUAAAUGAAGAGGAAGUUCAACUUAGGAAGCUUAAGUUUAGUUCACUUUGGAGGUUACUAAAGGCAAAAGAUUCUUUAUUGGUUCAAAGAUUACGAUCAAGGUGGCUAAAGGAGGGGGAUGAUAAUACUAAGUUCGUCCACAAUUGUAUUAAAUCUAGAGUAAAUGGGAAUUGAUAGUGCGGUUGGGUUUUCCUAGGAAGUGGGUGGCUUGGAUGAAAGCGUGUGUGUGUGGUGGAAAUAUGUUCGUUCUUGUAAAUGGAAUCCCAAUGGAAGAAAUUUGCAUUCAAACAGACCUUAAACAAGGAGAUCCCCUAGCUCCGUUUUUAUUUCUCCAAGUGGCGGAAGGCUUCAGUGGCUUGAUGAGGAAUGCGGGUCGUUUGGAGUUGUUCAAGGGUUUUGGUUUCAUGAGAGAUGGUAUGGUAAUCUCUCACCUACAAUAUGUGGAUGAUACUAUUUGUAUAGGCGUGGCAACUGUGGACUUUGGACUUUGAAAGCAAUGUUGACAGGUUUUGAAUUGACAUCGGGUUUAAAGGUGAAUUUUUCUAAAAGUUGUUUGUUGGGAAUUAAUGUUUCUGGCGACUUCAUGGAGAUGGCGUGUAAUUUUUUUAAUUGCACGGAGGGGACGUUGCCUUUCAAAUACAUGGGCCUUCAAAUUGGAGCAAAUCCGAGAAGGAUGUCGACUUCUCAACAAACUUAUUUUUUAAAUUAUGCUUGCCAUUCAUAAUCUUAAAAACUUACAAAAUUAUUUUUUCAAUGCAAUAUUUAUUUUUUAAUUCCACUUUUAGAUCUUUAUCUUGUGCCCUGGUUAACCUUUUUCUUUCUUUAUAUAUAAUAUAUAGAAUAGAUGAUACCCUCGUAAAGUAAUUGCAACUUAUAGAACCUAUUUUUAUUUUUUUUUGAUAGAAAGUAGGGAAACCAAUUUGAAGAGCACUUUCCUAACCUUGCAACAUAUAUGUGUAGGUGACAAUUAACUAUGUUUUGGGAAACUUGGGAAACACACAAAAGGAUUUUUCAGAGGCAAUGUCUGUGUUGGAAAAUGUUGUGGUGGAAUUGGGAAACACUUUGAGUGUUGCAUUAGGUGAUAUUGGAGGGGGAAUAACUAUUGAUGCAGUCUCAAGAGAGCAAGCAAAAAAAGCUCCACAAGUACCUCAGGGAGAGGAUCCAUACAUAAAAAAGAUUGUACUUAAAGGAAAGAAAUAUUACCUCUAUGUUCACAGGUUUUAUUCUUAUUCUUGGAUAUAAAUUACUAGGUAGUGUUAAAAAUAUUUAGAUUUAUAUAUAUAUAUAUAUAUAUAUAUAUAUAUAUAUAUAUAUAUAGGACAUAUCAAAUGAGAGCACUCUUUAUCAUGAGAGGAUGAGAGGGUUAAAUCUCAACCCUUGAAUGUAAAUAAAUGGUCGAGAUUAAAAUACUCCUUUUUUCCAUUCACAUGCAUUCUUUUCCUAUUUGUGCUCACCCUUGGACUUCCUGCAUGCUUUCAUUCCCAUUCUUCAACAAAUCCAUCGUCUUCUUUCACAAAGAAAAUUAAUUCAUGGAUUUAGAAAGUUGAAUUUCUUCUUAGUAGCCUACAUCUAUGUUUCAAUUUUGAUAUUAUAUACUUCUUUUCAAUUCUUCCUUUAUUGUUCUCUUUGAAGACGGGAAUCAACAACAAAUCAUCCUAAUAUGUUAUAAAUUAUUGUUAUGGUUUUAGAUAUAUCAAUUGUAAACCACUUGUUUUUCAACUUCAGAUCUGGCAGGAUAACAACCCAGAAACAACAAUGGAUUUUCACCAUUUUUUCAAAACUAAACCUCAUUCUGAUUUAAUUUUUAUAAUUGAGAAAUUCAAAUAAUCAGAUUUAAUUUUAUGAUGGAGAUGAAGUUGAUGAUUGAUGUAAAGCUUGAGGAAGCAAUUUUAAAAAAGAUGAAAUUGAAGAAUUCCAAUAAAAUAAAAUAAAAAGCAAUUGGGAAAGGUGGGGGUGUCAUAUAUAUGAAGCGGUGGGUAUAGAACCUAAAUCGAAACACCGAUUCACAAAAUUGAAAAGAAUUCCAUCAGAACCUUCUCAAAUCUCUCACAACCAUAUAUGUUUCUUUUCAAUUAGUGUUUUGUUCGACGGAACAAGGAAGGAGUUAUUGUCAAUUGCCAAUUGCUAUUGAGAUUUGAGAGAGAACAAGGAAGGAGAAACGUUUGGGACGAAGCAAGCGUGGAAAGAAAAAAUAAAGUCACUUGCCAUUUAAAGUGCACCUUUUAAUGUGAGCCAUUCAUUUUAAUUUAAGGGUCAUUAUUUAUUCCUCUCAUCCUCUCAUUAUAACACUCCUCUCAUUUGAUACACCCUAUAUAUAUAUAUAUAUAUAUAUAUAUAUAUAUAUAUCAUUUGCUAAUGUUUAUUUCUUUCAGUUAUUUGCGGUUUGGCAAAGAAGCAUCUCGUGCUGAAAUUUUGAAAGUCACUAAUGGUUCUCCUAAUCCUUGCAUUUUAGCUGGCUAUCAUGGUAAACACACGCAACUUCAUUGAUUUACACAUAUCUUUCUAGCAUAAACCAUUCUUAUAACAUGAACCUUUUUAUUCUGCAAAGGCACAUAUACAUAUUCAGGAGAGGAGUAUAAGGCAUUUUCUCCUGCUUCUGGCCCCAACUUUGAUGAAUGCAAAGAGAUAAUUCUUAAGGCACUUAAAGUGAAUGAUCCAUGUCCUUAUGGAAAAUGUAGUUUUGGUGGGAUAUGGAACGGUGGAGGAGGAAGUGGGCAGAAAACUCUUUAUGUUACAUCAUCAUUUUAUUACGUGCCUACAGGGGUAUGUAUCGAGGAUUUCAUGUCGGAUUUCAUGACAUUCACUCAUUUGAUGACCAUUUGAUCAGAAUAGGCAUUUUUUGAACUGGAUCUUGAUCGAACUUCGACUAAUAUUAUUUGUACACGUGUAGGUUAAUAUUGCUGAUCCAAAUAAGCCCAAUUCCAAAAUUCGUAUCGAGGAUCUGAAAACUGGAGCUGAGCAAGUCUGUAAAACAAAAUAUAAGGAUGCCAAAGCCACAUAUCCACUUAUUUAUGAGGAUAGUCUUCCAUAUGCAUGCUUGGAUCUUAUUUACCAAUAUACAUUGUUUGUUGAUGGAUUUGGUAAGUUUGCACUAUUUGAAGUUUUUUUUACAUAUGUUUUCUGGCAAUAUAUAUUAUUGACUUAAAUAUCUUUUGUAAAAUAUAUUAUUUACUUAUGAUCUUCUGUAAUAUAGGUCAUUUUUAGGUUUGUCCCAUGUAAUUUUUGUUUUGUUUUUGUCUUUGUAAAAAAAAAUUGUUUCAAAAUACCCCCUAAUAAGACAUUCAAAAACCAAAUUUUUUGAAAUUUUUUUUCUGAAAAUGGCCUAUUAGAGAGUAUUCUGAAAAGAAAAAAAAUUAUAAAUAUGAAAACCAAUUUUUUUUACAGGAAAUAAACUAGAAAUAACUUAUAUUACAUGGGAUAAAACACAAUUAACCCUAUUCUAAUAUUCUUAGGCAACCUAAGUUAAUCUCUUUUAAAUUAACAAGAAAAAAACAUCUAUUUAUUGACGCAGGCCUAGACCCAUUGCAAGAUAUUACCGUGGCAAAUCAAAUUGAAUAUCAAGAUGCCCUUGUGGAUGCAGCAUGGCCUCUAGGCAAUGCAAUAGAAGCUGUAUCAUCAUUGCCCUUCUAGAAUUAAACUUUGGAUAGUUUAGUGCUAAAGACUACUUUAGCCAAUAAAAUAAAGAGCAGUGUUAUUAACCGACGACAAACACACGACUUAUUAAAUAAAUGGAUGGCACACACAACAUAGGAGAAAGAAUAAAAGCAGCGAUGUGUAUAAUAUGUAUCCAAUUGUUUUAAUAUGUCGUGCCCUAUUAGUAUUUGUAAUAGAGUAAUGAUACAUAGACACCCCUUAUUCUCAUACACCCUUGUACACCCCAUGUAUUAGGAAGAGAGAAGAGGAGAGAAAAGAGAAAGUGUGCUUGUGCGGGGUCCACGUGACUACGUGUUAGAUUUUUGUGUGGAUGUUAAAGGAUGUAUUGUCAUCUAAGAGUGUCUAUGUAUCAUUACUGUUGUAAUAUGUCGUGCCAACAAGCAAUAUCCUAAAAUAAAAUAAAAAACAUCUCAUUUUUCGUUGCAUAUAUGGCUCACUUUGAAUUUUACUUCUACUUAUUAAGUUGAUCUUUAAAUUACAUACGCUACAUGAGCACGAACCUUAAGAGAAAUUUUGUGGAAAUUUUCACUUCAUUUUUUUAGUGGGGUUAAUUUUUUACACAAGUAUUACUAGACAUAUGUGCAGUUUACAAGCAUGCGACGUUACCACCAAGAAUGAGUCAAUCGAAACCAUGUAGCUUAUGUUAUGGUAAAUAGUAAAGCAGUGUAGUUGUUGCAAACAACAAUCAAAUUUUGCUUUAGAUUAAUCAAUUAAUGUGUAACAGAAACGAAGAUUUCAGUGGUUUUUCAUGCAGAAUUAGUUACAAACAUAUAUCUAAACAAUUUGGAUCACCAAACUCAACCUAAUAGACCUGAAGCCGCUAUUUAAACAUUAUUUAGAGUAUCUUGGUCAUAUGAUUUGAAAACCAAUAUUUUCCUUCAACCGUCACAGCUCUAGUGCAUCAUGUUUCCUCUUUGGUUGUUUGUUUGACUCCCUUUCGUCCCAUUGGAGUUGUGGGGAAAUUGUCAAUCUUAUAGCAUCUAUUUCGACCUUUAUUUUUGUUAAGAUAAGUAUUCUUUGUUUCUAUUUUAAAAUUUGAUAUGUAAAAUCUCUGGUUUUUUUAACUUUGUUUCCAUUCUUCUCAGUGGGGAUAAUCUCAAGAAAUGAAUGUUAUUUGAACAACUAUUUUUUAGGAUAAUUUAUGAGACAACCAAAAUAUGCAAAUUAAUGUAUGGAUUGACACAAAAAUCAAAGCAAUAGAGAGAGAAGGUUAAAACAAAAUGUGAGUAUGAAAGAAAAAAAAAAUUGUUACAAAAUGGUUGUUCAAAUAUUAUUUCUUGUCUCAAGAACAUAAAACAACAUCAUGGGUCAGGCUCCGUCUAUGGUGGGCGACCUUAAUAGGUCCCCCACCGUAGGAGACAUGGUUUUUUCUUCUUUCUUUUCUUUUUAAAAUUAAUAUGAAUGGUUUUUUCUUCUUUCUUUUCUUUUUAAAAUUAAUAUGAAUCGAUGGAUAAGGGUUAACCAACCCUUGGAUCAAAAUGCUUACUAUACACCUCCAACACUCAAUCCGGCGUUGUUCUGGUUAGACAUAUAAUUAAGGACAACCGAAAUUAUGUAUACAAGGUACCCGCAUAUAAAAUUUACCACGAACCAAUACAUGAUCAAUAUCUUAAUGGGUACACACGAAUAAAAACAAAUCAUAUUUUAAGUAACCGUAAAUCAAUAGAUGCACAUGCCAUGAAAUAAACAAGAUUUAGGCCAAAAAAAAAACUUUUUUUUGACAAAUUGGAUUUAUUAAAAUUAUUAACACGAAUAGAAUACAAUAAACAUUUUAUUCUAUAUAUGUUAAUAAUUUUACUAAAUCCAGUUUGUCAAUUUUUUUAUGAAAUCAGGUUAAUUUUAUCUGCAUGUGCAUCUAUUAAUUUACGGGUACUAAAAAUAUGAUUUUUUUAUUCGUGUGUACUCAUUAAGAUAUUUGUGUUAUAUCUAUUCGUGGUAAAUUUUAUAUGCGGAUACCUUGCAUACAAAAUUUUGACCGUCCUUAAUUAUAUGUUUACCCCGGACUAUGCCGGAUAAAUACAAUACUAAUUUAGUAUAAAAGAAAGCAACUGAAUGUUGAAGGUGUGUAAUAAACAUUUUAAUUCAGAGGUUGAUCAACUUUUAUCCAAUAGUUUAUAUUUAUUUAAAAAAAAAAACUAUGUCUAGGAAACCUAUUAGGAAAAAGAUUGAUAGUGCGACAAAUUACCCACAAAAAAACAACGAAUAGAUAGUGACCGUUGGAUCUUGCAUUAGAUUGAGUGUACUUUGAUUUUCAUAUAUUUGAAAAAAUAAUACCACUGCCACAUGAUUCGUGUGCCAGUCGCACUGUUAUUUCUCGCAUCAAGUAGCAACUCUCAACCUAUUAAGGUAGCCACCGGAAACGGAACCCAUGGGUCGGCCAUUACUCGAAGAUAUAAUAGCUGACAUCAUAAUAACGAAGCAAUUGGUGUCCAUUUAAUAAUAAGUUUAAUAAAGAGAAAUGACAUAUAUACUACUACUUUAAAACAACUCUCUUUUAUAAUUUUGUUGUGUCUUUGCAUUCUAUUUCUUUUAAUAAAAGUUAAGAAAAAAUUAUUUUAAAAGUUAUCACACAAGUAUGAUCGGUAUUCUUUAAUAAAACACAAAAUAGUAUGUAGAGAACCUUCUUUGAUGGGUGUCUUAAUCGAAUAAAAGCAUCUUUGAAGCAUAAUUAUUGAAGUCAAAGAGUUGUAGAUAAUCAUAACCAUUUUUUUUGUCUACUAUAUCGUGGCUCACUCCAGCUUUUGGUAUUCGUGGACAUGGUAACUUCUUUUUGUAGUAUAAGCUAUAGUAAAUUCUCUAAUCUUUUGAAUGCCUCCAAAGAAAAACUACUCUAAAAUUAUCACGUUUCACAUGGUUUAGGUCUUUUGUGGUGUUUGUAAUUCGGUUUGCAUCGGUUUGAAUAAUAAAAAGUCAUCUAAUAUAAACAUUAAAAUAAGACGAGUUUUCUUGACAAAAAAAAUAAUUAAAAAGACGAGUUCUUUUAAAAAAAAUAUUAGCGAAAAGACGAGCGCUCACAGGUUUACUGUGAAGUAUGUCUCCAAAAAAAGACGGAUGUCUUUUAAAUAAUUUUAAACGUACUCUUGUAGAUAACAUACAUCUCAUUCAUGGGAAGCACUUCAGUGCCAUUGUGCCAUAGGACCAAUCAUAUUUUGACACGUGUCAAGGCUUAUUAAAAUAAAAUAAAAUAAAAACUGAAAAAGGAAGUUUAAACUGUAAAAUGCAGUUAUAAAAGUGGACUGAUGUAGCAAAAUAGUGUAAACUAGUUAGUAAUUUUGCACUAACAAUUCAAAUCCUUUAUAUACAUCAAUUAAUUGUGCAAUAUUGUAAAGAUAGGCUAAGCAAGCUUUAUUUUGUAACAGAUUGGUGUUGUUUCAGCACACGGUCCUAACUCCUAACAAACUUUGGAGUAACCAAUUUUGUUUUCCUGAAAUACAAGAACAGGAAGACCUCACUUUCCCUUGUUUUCUCUCUUUUUCUAUGAUAUAGCAUAUUGCUAAAAUAUGCGGUACACCAAUGGACAAAAAUCUAAACAAAGCCCCUACAGCCAUCCUAAUUCUACCAAAGUCCAAAGGUAGUGAUGAUGCUAACAUAUACAACAAAGUAACAGAGGAUCCCAGCCACAAGCACAGCCACAUAAAGGCACAACAAAGCACCAAAAACCUCUAAAACCCAGCCUAGUAUAUCCCAGCCUCAAAACCAGCCCCCAAGUUAUGGAUAUUGUGCACAAAAAACACAAACAGCUGACCAAAACCAGUCGCGCAAAAAACACAAACACAAACUUGUUAUAUUAGUAUACCAUUAUUCUACAAUUGAUUCAAAACAGCACCAAUACCAUUGUUUUCAAUCAAGAGUAACCAUUGUUAUGAAGAAAUCAUGACAAAGCAUAAUACUAACCAAAAAAUAAAUUGAAAAAAAAUGAUUUAAUUGAUGGAUAAAACUUAAUUUCAUAUACACAUUGAGAUCCAAAUUACAUGAGAGAGACUUAAUCUAAUAUACAUGUAAUCAAAAUCUGACUUGAUUGAAUACACAUAACAAGAUCUAAGCCUUCUUUAGAGACUUUCCUUCCCAAUAGCAGCUGUCCAGUUUUCUUGUUCAAAAUCUUUCAAACAGAUCCAACCUCCCUGCAACCCUUGACACACCAAAAAUCAUCUUGAUAAGCCAAAAAUCUUAUUCACCAAAACAACAUGGAUUCAAUCGAAUACGAGAUUGAGAAGGAGGGAUGUCAAUAGCCGUCGGAGGGCGAUGGUUGAAGGUUAUGGCGGCGGACGGCGAAGAAAACCGGUGGUGGUUUCUGAAUCGCGUUUUCUGGAAGCGAGAAAGAAAACUUGCGUUUUCUGUUUUCUAGGAACCAAAACCGGAGGGCGUUGUGUUUUAUUUCAUUUAAACUUGCUUUUUCAGUUUUUUUAUUAUUAUUUUAAUAAGCCUUGACACAUGUUAAAAUAUGAUUGGUCCUAUGGCACCAUAUUACUAUUGCACUGAAGACUGAAGUGCUUCCCCUCAUUCAUCAACAAUAUGGGGUUGGUUGAUUGGAAUCAUGUUCUAAGAGAAGCAAAUCAAGUGGCAUACCUAUUUGCGAAACAUGGGUUAUCUUUGAAUGAUGAUUUAAAGAUUUUUAAUUUUGUUCCUAGUUUUAUUUCUUUGCCUUUGUUGACAAUGGAUUUUUAAAUACAACUCUUACUGGAUUUGUUUUCUCUAGUCAUAUGUUGAACAUAAAUAAAGAAUUUUCAAUUUUAUUUUUUUUAGAGUGAUCAAUCAUCCUAGAAAAGCUUCUUCUAUUACUCAGGUGGAUCGGAAAGCUAAUCUUUGUAAUUGAUUUAACGGUAAUAUAUUAUAAGGUGUUUCGGGCUUCCUGAAACCUUCUUCUUGUCGUGGCAUUUUCAGGAUUUUAGAGUUUUAAUUGUGAUUGUGAGAAAAACACAAGAAUGGAUUAAAUUGUGUUUACGGAAGGAAGGAGGGAGGGAGGGAGGGAGGGAGGGAGGGAGGGAGAGGGAGGGAGGGAGAGAGAGAGAGAGAGAGAGAGAGAGAGAGAGAGAGAGAGAGAGAGAGAGAGAGAGAGAGAGAGAGAGAGAGAGAGAGAGAGAGAGAGAGAGAGAGAGAGAGAGAGAGAGAGAGAGAGAGAGAGAGAGAGAGCAAUUGUACUGGUUUCACCUACAAUCCAAUAGUCAGGCCCGGCCUUGAGGGAGUGCAUGGUACUCAACCAAGCCAGGCCUAAAAAAAAAUUAAAUCUAAAACCCACCCCCACUUAAAUAAAAAAAUAUGGAGAAUGCUAAUGAGUGCCCUUGAGGCAUUGGUUAAGCUGAUAAAAUUCGUAACUUUGCAUCAAAAAAUGGUGUGAUUAUUGGCAAGACAAAAGUAAAAGUUUAUAUUUCCAAGACAGAAUUUCUAUUAGUGGAUUCUUUAACCACUGCCGUUAGGGCACUGGUUAGCAAAACCCAAAAAAUAUAUGUUACUUCUUUUUCUUUCUUCGGUACACGUUUGAGUUUUUUUUUAGACUCUAGUUCUCCUUUCUGGACAUAAAUCUGAUGCUAUCAAACCACCCCCAAUUUUUAUAAUCAUUUAAUCAGUCAAUUUAUAAAGUUAUUUCAUUGAAAGAAUCACAACAAUGAUUUCUUUUUCGCAUAAACCAUUCGUUUUCCCCUUUCCCACAACGGAUGAGUGACAAAUCCAAACGACACUGUUAGGUAAAUUUCACCUAUCUUUCACUUUUUUUUGGUUUCAUGUUUAGAAGUUCUUUUGGUUUUGAUUUUUUAAUGAAGCUUAGCUUCACAAAAAAAAUUGCAGUUUUAUUUUAUUGGAGGCCUAUUUUAAAAAGAGAGUUGAGCCUCCUAUUUUAUAGGAACAACACUUCCAGUAGUAGUCCAAUCCUCUUGCACUUCCAAGGAAUUUUCACUGUAAUCACAACUAAUUACAAAUGUUCAAGAUACAACCAAGAGACUUGCAAGUGCUCAAGCACACAAGCAAGAGACUUUCAAUGUUCAAUCACAACUGAAUGAGACAUCUAAUGCUUAAGCACAAAAGCAAAAGACUUCUAAUGAGUUUACAAAUAAACAAGAUUUGUUCUUACAUUUGAUAUAUAAUCAGAGGUGUAAACAAUAUAAAUCAUAAUUGACUUUAAGACUUAGAAUUUCUAAAAUACAAACUUUGUUGAGAAAUUCUUAAGUGUUAUAUGCGCUUUUUGAUUUGACAAAGUAAGGACACAAUUAAAAUAGUAGAGUCUUGUUAUUGUUCUUCAAGUCUUCUGCUUCUUAUAUAGGCAAGGAAAUAAGAGACGUUGGAGAAGAGUGUCAGCGCAUUUAGAGUCGCUAAGAAGCUUCAAAUCAAUAAUGUUGGGUCAUUGUCUGAUAUGGAUAAUGUCGUUGAUUAGACAUUCGAAAUUCCUUUGCUGAAACUGGAAUUAUCUGUUCAUUAUCUUUGUCCUUGAAGUUCUUUGUUUGUUUCUACAUGUGGUCAGAAAAGACAAAUUGUAUUAUCAGAUUUUGAUAGAGACAACUAUAGAAAAGGACAAAUCUGACGUGAAGUCUGAGUCCCUCAAGAUCUUUUGCACUUCAGAUUUUGGAGGUCUUAAGAGUCUGAUGUAGAUCUUCAGCUUCUGAGUAACAUCUUUUCUUCUCAUCCAAUGUGUUAACUUCUGGCUGACCUUUCUUCAGAUCUAAUACCAUAGUCUUUGAGCUUCUCUCGUGUUUCUGAUGCUCUCAUACAUGUUCAAACCUUGUUAAAUUUUAAUAUAUGAUCUCGCACACUAGAACAUUUAUAAGCAUAUCCAAUUGUUCUUUAAUAUUUUAUUAUCAUCAAAAUUUUAGAGGAAUUGUACAAACCAAAUUUGUUCCAACAAAUUGUUGGUUGUUUUUCUUUUUCAUUAAGAAUGUGAUUGCUUUUGAAGAUGAGUUAACGACUGCUAACACAACUAUUAAGUUUGCUUUUGAUAAAAGUUGAUAGGGAAAUGUUAACUUGUACCCUUAAGGCACAAGUUAAGAAGCUAAAGAUAAAAAAAAAAAUUUGGAAAUUGUGUAUUCAACAUCACAAAAGUUUAAACAUUUAUACUUUCAAUACAAAAUUAAUUAUUUAUUUCCUUUUAUAGCUCCUUAACUUAUGCCCUUAGGACAUAAGUUAACAAGACCCAAGUUGAUAUCGUCUUUGGUUAGGAUGAUAUUCCUCGCUUGUGGUAAAAACUUUUAAGAAUUUUCAUGUCUAUUUCCUCAAGAAUAAAAAAUAAUUUUAUUUAAGGGAUGAAUAUAAUUAGUUACCUCUCGUCCCGUAAGUGUAGCUCGGUUGGUAGCUACCAAAAAUAAUUUGUGCAGGAGUCAGAGUUCGAACCCCGGAUUCUCCACUUAUCCACACUUAAUGUGUGUGAAUCUAGCCAUUACACUACUUGAUAAAAAAAAAUUGGGCCUCUCAUGUAUAAACAUGUAGUACAAUAGUUACGUUGAUAUGUGGCGUUUGGUUUUCAUCUAGAAAUAAUAUUUGGGGAACUCUUUGACUUAGAUUUAUUUUACAGAAAUGUUGUCGGAAUCGGCAUAAUAUUCACUUAUGUUGUCGGAAUCAGCAUAAUCUUCACUUCUUUAAGCUUGUUUGAAAUUUUUUUCCAUGAGUUCUUUGUUUAUGUUCCACAAUGUUUGUUUUUCCUGUUUUUGAUUUUUUUUAUAAUAAAUUUUCUUAGUUAGGCCUAGGAUUGUUCGACUCUUUGGUGACAAUAUAGUUGAAAUGUAAUAAUCUCGUUUGACGUUUGAUAUUUUUUAUAAUACAUGUUCCGAAUUGAUCAAGGGUUCAAGAUCGAUGUUCGAAGAGGCUCAAAUACAUCUUUAACCCAACGAUCCAUACUGAGUGAUGCUCUCAUCAAGAAUCCACAGACCCAACGAUCCAAUUGUCAAAAGCUUUGAAUUUCAUCAAACUUGUAAUGCUUCCGACCAUAAAUGUCAUAAAACGUUCGAAGUUACAAACUCGUCGUCCGUAACACACCUUCAACGGCUAUCUUCGAUAGUCAUAUAGACGACUGUAUAAAAGAGUUCUUAAACCACAACUCAAGGUGUACAUUAUCUAUCAUUUCAAUAUCCUCCAAGUCGCAUCUCGAUGGUUGCUGCUCCAUAAAGAUAAUCACUACUCGUGUUCAAUGUUUAAUACACAUUUUAUAUAUGUAUGGCUAGAGGAUAUUAAUAAAAGUUCUUCUCAUCCUUAUCGGUUUCAUAUGUCUCUUUUCACCUUAUUUCAACGGCCGGACCUAAAUAGGAAUGAUUAAAGGAUGUCAUACGAUAUGUAAGGAAAUAAGUAACCAGAAAUAGAAUGUGCAACAUAUAUAACAUUAUGAUUCAAUGUUACAAGAUAUUAUCCAAAAUUAAUAAAAUUCAGUGUUUCAAGACCUUUUCUCUUUCCAUUCUCUAUGCACCAACUCUCGUUCCUUCUCCCCUUUACGGCCCAGAGGACCAUAACCGACAUAUUUUUGCAUAGCAUACUGUCUGACCUAACCGAUAUACCUUUGGUCAAUUAAAACAUUUCACUCGUUAAUCUUUUAGUUGAAGCAAAAUAUUAAUUGUUGCACUCAGUUUCAAUGGAACAUGACACAUAUUGAAAUUAAGACUCACUAAUUUUUUUUAUCAAAUAGUUUUAAAAUGUGGAGUAGUGAAGUAUCCGAGAUUCGAACUCUGACCUCUGCAUAUAAUAUGUAAUAUCCUACCAACUGAGCUAAGUUCACCGUCCAUAUAUUUUCAAAUUAAUUUGAAGUCCUAAAUUAUAAUUAAACGCCUGUAUUAUAUAUGAUUGUCAACAAAUCAAAACUCAAUUGUUGGCUACUAAAUUAGAAACCCCAAUAAGUAACUCAAUUAAUCAUGGAUAGAUACAUUAGAUCCAGAUGGCUCCAACCUGCAAUAUUACUUCUUUUGGCUUUGCUUUCUAUCACAAAAGAAAAAGCCAGGUGCAUUAGGUACAUGCCAAUUUCAGAAAAAAGAUAUAAAAGUUUGACUUUUCCAAUUAGGAACAUUAUCACUCUAGCUCCAUACGACCAGGACCACAACACAUUGGGAAGAAAUUUAACAUUUGGAAUAUUAUGGGAGUGACACAUAGUUGAAAACAUGGCCUGAUUUAAUUACUCUAUUAAAUUGUGGUUAAGGAUUAAAGGUAAGUGUAUACCGUUGUUGAUUUUGGUUAAUGAUUCAUGGAAGAGAUUAGAUGAAGUGGCGUGACACCAUUCUUGGAUAAUUACAUUUUAUAAAGUUGUUUGGUUUUGCUUGUUCGGGUUGGUUUUGUGUAUAACUUAUCUUAAGCUAAUUGAUUCGGAAACUGACCCACAAGAUUAUGAUGUAAUUAACUUCUAGUUUAACAAUGUCAUAACACUUAAGAAGUUAUUUUUUAAAACAAAUUUUCUAAUGUGUGUAACAUCACCAUUAAUAGUUCAUUACUUUUUCGUUAUAAAUUAUUCACUUCCAAUAUGUUGGGAAGAAAAUUUAGAGAAACUUCUAAGGUACCGUUUGGCCAUGCUUUUUUUUGGUCUAAAAGCUACUUUAAAACAAAGUUAAAAUAAAACUCUUUAAGAAAAAGGCUAAAGCUGUUUGGUUUCUUUAUUUUUUUUUAGUUCUAAAGUUAUUUUUGAGUUAAAAGCUGUUUGGCAAAAUAUUGUACAAAACUUUGAAUUUAUUAUUUUUUGAUAGUGUCUGGGGUUCGAACCCGGGACCUUGCAUAUAUUUAUGCAUUGUCUAUAAAUAAAUAAAAAACUUUGUAUUCAUUAUGAAUUAACAUAAUAAAUAAAAAAAUGUCUAAAAUAUUUUUUGAAGGGAAAAAAUGUUUAAAAUAUAAAAGAUAUAUUUUUACCAAUACUAUAUUUACUCAAUGACGUUUAUUUUGUGUAACAUGAAUACAAAUUUGUACAAUAUCUUUUCCAAUUAUACUCUAUAACAAAAUUUUGUUAUAACAAAUUUUGUUAUAAGAAUACCAUAUUUUAAUUAGUGUUGGUCAAAAAGAUAAGAAUUUAUAUUUAUAUAAUAUUAUAUUUGUUACAUUGUUGGUGUCAUUGAAAAAUAUAUGUUUAGUUUUUUUAAUAAGAAAAAGAUAUGCAUAGUUUGUUACAAUACAAAUGUGUAAAUUAUAUAUAAGUAUAAUUAUUUUAGGCAACUACACUUGUACUUUUAAUUAAAAUCAAAAUUUUAUAAAAAUAAUUAUACGCAUUACACAACACUAACAAAAAUUAUACGCAUUAGCAUAACAAAAAAAAAACAGAAAGAGGAAUAUAAAGUAUUACUCUAAACGCUAACGCGUGUGUGUAUUUCCGUGGUUGAAGAAAGGGAAUAAAAAUAGUCGGUGUCAUUCAUUGACAGCGUGAAUACAAAUAUUUGUGAGGUUGUGAUGAUUAAAAGAUAUUGAAAUUAAUAUAUAAGUGAUAAAAAGAUAAUAAGAUUCUUUAAAAAAAUAGAUAAUAAACUUAAAUGGAACCUCAUUAAAAAAUUAAAUGGACCGGUUAAAAAAAAAAUAAAAAAUAAAAAAUAAAAUGGAAGAAAAAAGUAUAUUGAAAAAAUAAAACAAAAGGUUGCCGGCGGAAGUUGAAGAGAGGUGCUUGUGAAAUAAAUUGGGGAGAAAUACUUUUUUGAAGUAGCAUUCAACAACUUUUGGUUAAAGCUCAUUCCAUUCAAUUUUAUGCAUUCUAAAAAAAGUAAUUUUUUUCGAAGGUACUUUAUUGAUAUUGUGUUUGGCCUAGCUUCUCCUUAAAAACGUAGAAAAGCUGAAAAAAAGACAGGCCAAACGGUACCUAAGACUACUCAAGUUAGGAGAAAUCGACAAAUGUUUAUUGCGAAUUUUGGCAAAUAAAAUUAAUUUGGUAUAAAUUGAAUCCUUUAGUUCACUCGAAAAAAAAAAUACGUUUUUUAGACUUUUUUUUGGGUAAAAAACUCUUUUUUUUUUUUUUUUUAAUAAUGUGCAUUUUUUAAUCAACGAGAGAAUUAAAAUCUUUUGGUUUUAACGCGAUAUUUCAAGAUCAAUAAAGGUGCAAAGAGAUGACAUUGAUUAAAGAAAAUUACUCUAGACUACACACAAGGUGGAUUAUUUUGAAACACGUUUAAUUUAUUUAUUUUUCGGUAAGUGAAUCACAUGUGAGACCUACAUUACCCCUUGAUGAAUUGGAGGUAAUUUAUUCUAUAAUGAUAAAUAUGAUUCGAUUUUGAAACAAAAAAUAUGUAGAUCAUAUGUUGAAUAAAGGAGAUGAAAAAGUUUGAUUUUCUUAAAAUGAAUAUGAUAAUUGAUUGUCAGAAGAAGAAAAAAAUCAAAAUAGCGAGGCCUACAUUAUCAUUUGAUGAAUUAGAGGUAACUUACCCCUAAUAACAAACAUAUGUAGAAGUUUGAUGUCCUAGGAAUGAAAGUGGUAUUUAACUUUUAAAAAAAAAAGAUGAAAAAAGUAUGUUUUUCUUUGAUAGAGGUAAAUUACCUCCAAUUGGGUAAUGUAUAAAAAACCAUGUUUUAAAAUCACAUAAAAUAUUGUACUCUUUCCAUUCAUAAAUACAUCUGACAGUCAAUCAUUGCAUACAUGUCCAUACAUAACUUUGAUCAUUAAUAUUUUUAAUCAUUUAUAAUAAAAAAUUAUAAAAAUUUGAUAUUUUAAAAAUAACUAUUAAGAUAAAUCGAGCAACAUCUUACACGUUAUAUAUAUAUAUAUUAUUAUUUUUGUUAGGUAGUUUAGUGGCUAAAAUUCACAUUUUUCAAGGUGAAUAAAUGACGUGUUAAACGAAGGUUUGAGAGUGUUAAACGAGAUUAAGACUCAAAUGUCACGAUCAUAUUAACAAAAGUUGAAGAAAAUAAUAUUACAAUGUGCUCUCUAUAUAUUGAACAACUAACUAUCAAUCUCUUAAGUCUAAACAACUCUGACAAACAAACUAAUUCCUAGCUGAAUUAUAUUUUGUAACACCAUUCUUGUGAAAAUUUCUCCCACAACAUUUUAGUAACUUCACUCAAAAUUGACAUGAUAACUAUUAAGAUUCAAUAGCUUGUCGAAAAAACUUGACACUUGAUUAUCAUAUAAUCAAGAAAUACUCAAAUAUAAGUGAGCAUGUCUUUUCAAAUUCCACAUGGUUGCUAUAGAAUGAAUUGAUUAUCAUAUCUUGUCUAUUUUUGGCUCUUCUUUAGAAUGAAUUAAGUGUCAAUUACAAAUUUUUUUGUUGGUGGCGAUUAUUAAUGUCCUUGGUGCAAUUUGAUCGGUAGAAAUCAAUUGUCAUUGAACAAUAAAAGUACUUCUAUAUCCAUCAUCUUUUUUUAGUCGCGAUUUAAACCCUAAACCUUACAUAUAUUAUGCAUUUUUCGACCAAUUGAGUCAAGUUCACGAGGAUCGUAUAUCUAUCAUCUAAUCAAGAAAAAUAUAUCUUGAAUCCACAAACUGAUCAUAAACCUCCUUGUUCCACUUCUUUGAAUCACUUUUGAGGACUCUCGAUUUUUUUAUGAUAAAUUCCAUCCUUAGAAAAAAUCAUAUAAAACCUUAUGCCCCAUAAAAAAAAUAAAAAAUACUUAUUGCUUUGUAAUUAAGACUGCUCUUGAGUUUCCACACACAAACUUUCCACAAAAAGAGGAUGCUCUCAAUUGGUCAACGAAUAAAACUUCACCUUUGUAGACAUGAUUAACACCACCCAUGCAAGCCAUACUUUUGAGGAUAUGGCUACCAAUUAUUUUAUUUUACAAUGAGAAAAGAGGACAAUAAUAAUGUACUCCAAAAGUUUGGAUUAUUACAUUACUAGUUUCGUUAUUGCCAUCUGGACCACUCACUUGUGUCCAUCAUUUUUUUUUUGUUACAUUUGUGUCCAUCAUUUGAGUUAUUUGUAGUUUCCGUUUGAUAAUAAACCAAUAAGCGCAGUCAAGAAAAAUAUAUCCAUGUCCAUAUAUAUUUCAUGAAUCUCAUAAAUCUUUUAGCACAAUUAUUCAAUGUAUUCUACUUUUAUUACUACCUCCGUCCAUAAAUAUAUGAGUUUUUUGCAAAAAUUACGGAGAUUAAAAAAGUUGGUUGUAUUAUUAAUUUUGUAUAUAAUUACUAUUGUUUUUACAAUUUUAUCCUUAAGAGAGAGAAUUAAUUUAUGUUUUCAACAUAAUAUUUAUUGUUGAUUGAAGAAAAAGAUGCAAAAUAAAUAAGGGUAUGUUGGUAAAGAAAUAAUUAAUGUACUUGAAAAUACCAAAGGACUCUUAUAAAAAGGGACAAAAUUUUUCUCAAAAAAAUCUUAUAAUUAAGUAGUAUAAUUUUUCGUGAUUAUAGUCGUAACUUUUUUAACAGAUAUUGCUAAUAUAAGUCCUACAUAUAUAGUUAUGUAAUUUGAACCGAUAAUUUAUCAUUAAAAAAAACAACUCAUGUGUAAUUUUUUUUGUUAUAAUUUAUCAUUAAAAAAACAACUCAUGUGUAAUUUUUUUUUACAAUCCUCAUGUUGUCAAAAUGUGAGGCCCGAUAGUGGUAGCCAUUAGAUUACGAAUAAAGAUUGGUAGACAUCCUUAAUGUGUACAUUCAUUUACACCACUCUAAAGAAUUUAAGUUAACUAAAUAUAUGGUAUGUGUGACCAUAUUUUUCAAUUGUGUGACCACUAUUUUCCAGCAUUUAGAAGCUGAAAAAUAUGGUCAUGUAACUAAAAUGCACGUGACCACUAUUUUUCCACUUAAUUAACCUAAUAAAUAGUGGUCACGCAACUAAAAAUAUGUGGUCACACAGACCAUAUAUAUAGUUAACUUAAAUUUUUUAGAGUGAUACAAAAGGGUGUAUACAUUAAAGGUGUCUACAUAUCAUUGUUGUUAGAUUAUAUCCAAGACUCUAAUCAUUUUGUAUGUUUAAGGUAUAAUUGGAAGAGAUAAGUUGAAAAUUUAAAUAAAGGGAACAAAUUAAGUGCGUAGGGUAAAAAAAAAUUGCAGAAUAUCUUGAGAUUUAUUAAGGUAUUUUUAUGAUCGAUGAGAGUAAAUAUAAAUUUGAAGAGCAAAUGAAAAAGAACAUAUUUGAGUUUUUUUAUAAAAUUUAAUAAACUUAUUGUAAAAAUUAUUAAGAGAAAAGUGAUUUGGAUCAGUCCUAAUCAUAGUCCACCUAAUAUAAUAAGACAUGGGUGCUCUAGUCAAAGUGUCAAAGCCACACGCUCGAUUAUCCCAUGUCAUACCUUAAUCCACGACCAUGAUGACAAUGGCCACCAACAUUAAAAUAUAUAUACAUGUUCUGUUAAGAUUUAAGAAUGAGAUAUCUGGCAUAUGCUUAUGUUUUUCUACAAUCUUUCAACAAAAAUUGCACUACUAUUCCUAUGACUACAGCUGGGCCAAUAACAGCACAAAGAUUUUCAUUGAAAUUCCCAAAUUACCCUCAAUGAUACCGUCAAUCAUUCUACUUUGUGGCUUCACAUGAAACGUGUCGACAUCUAAUCUUAUCAUCUGAAGAACGAUGAUGUCACAGCCGCCAUUACGCAACGAUAAUAGACUCUGGACCAAGAUUUACCAUAAACGACAAAAGUGGAAGUUGCUGGUGACAAAAAUUACAUCAAUCACACCGUAAAAAAGGUAGUAAUGCUUGUGUAAGAUUAUAACCAAGGAUUGGCCAUGUAUAUUUCGGAUAGCACUUCGGUGAUAUUGGAAUGUUGAUGUCCAUUUAAUAUUAGUCAACCAUAAUAUAUUUAUGACUAACUAACUGUUACCCAUAUAUUGCUCAAGUGUCUUUUCCUAACAAAAAACUUGAACAGAAAAAGUUUUGUUUUCAAAUUUAACUUUUAAAACAAAAAACUCAAACUCACACACACCUACUCCUAAAUUUUCACUUAUUGUAUGUUUGGAAUCCCGGCUAAUUUGUCAUUCUCGCGUUACAAGGCAAUGUCACUGCUGAAAAAUAUUACCUCCGUUCCUUUUUAAUUGUCACAUUUUAACAUUUUACACAAAUUAAGACAAUCAACAAUUGAUACCACUUUUGAUGCAAUAAGCUAUACUUUUACUAUAAUGACCUUAUUCAUUUAAUAUCUCAUUUCAUAUAUUUCUCUCUCUGUAAUAAAUAACUAAGGACAAUAUUGGUAAACCAACAUUUAAUGUUGCAUUUAACUUUGAAAAUGACAGUUAAAUAGGAAUAAAAAAUUUCUCCAAAAGUGACACUUAAAAAGGAACGGAGGGAGUAAAAACUAUAAAGUGUGGCUUCUAACGAAACGCACGUCUACGGCAAAGUAAACGCUGGGACAUACAGACACUUGGUUCUUUAAUUCAAUCUGUUCAUAUAUGAACCAUUUAAACACUCAAUUAAAGAAAUCACAUUUGUGAAUGCUCAAACCUCAACCCAAUUCACUUAAGUGCUAGUUUGCUUCCACAUCAAAACAAUACCAAACAUACUUUUACUAAGAAGCUUGGAUUUUUAGCUUUAGAAAAUCACUGUAUAUUUGUGUUGGAACGUGUUUCCAAACACAUGCUAAAAAAAGCUUAAUCCUGAACAUAAUCUCAAUUAGAGUAGAAAAUUGGAUAAUUACCGUGCCCUACUGGGAUCAUUAAACAGUAGUCAAGUUGAAAAAUAUUUGUUUAUUAAAAUGUGAAGCUUAAAGUAUGAAACGUAAGUCUAAUUAUAUAAUUUUUGCAAAACUAAUCUAAAUAUCAUUUUCUCACCAUGGAUUGGGUUUGUCAUUCAUCAUCCGUUUUCACAUUGCUUCUAUCUCCUAACUCCUAUCUUCUUUAAAAUGGACCCCACUUUUGGACAAAAUCAUGGUUCUUGGAACUGAUCUAAAUUUUUUGUCAUUCAUACCCCCUAGCCCCCUUGGCCUAAUCUCUUCCCACGUGACGACAAAAAUUCCACAACCAUAAAAUCCCUUCCUUUCUUCCAAUCCCAAAAAUUUCAAUCCUCUCUCAUUAUUUUCAUUUUGUGUAUGCUUCACACCAAGUUUGGUUUUUGUCUCUCUCUCUCUCUCUUAGCACACACCCUCAACAUUUUUUUAAUACCACAUGGGAACCCCACAGACCAAUUUGCCACCAGGUUUUAGGUUCCACCCUACUGAUGCAGAACUCAUUCUUCACUACCUUAGGAAAAAAAUUGCCUCCAUUCCCUUGCCUGUUUCCAUCAUUGCUGAAGUUGAUAUUUAUAAGUUGGAUCCUUGGGAUUUACCAGGUUUGUAUUCUAUAAAUUUAUAAGUUGAUCCAAAAUAUACGUAUGUACUUUUUUAUAUUACUUUUUUUUAAUUUAAUAAUGUGUGAUGUGGAAGGUUAAUUUACUUUUGGUUUGUUGUGGUUUCUUUAUUUUCAGCUAAGGCUUCAUUUGGUGAGAAAGAAUGGUACUUUUUUAGUCCUAGAGAUAGAAAGUACCCAAACGGUGCAAGGCCAAACAGGGCAGCUGCUUCAGGGUAUUGGAAAGCCACUGGCACUGAUAAGACCAUAGUGGCAUCAUUGCCAUGUGGAGGAGGAAGAUCACAAGAGAACAUUAUUGGUGUCAAAAAGGCUCUUGUUUUUUACAAAGGAAAACCCCCAAAGGGUAUUAAGACUAAUUGGAUCAUGCAUGAAUAUCGUCUUGUUGACAACAAUAAACCUAUUAAGCUCAAAGAUUCUUCCAUGAGGGUGAGUUUAGAUUGCGGUCGCGUCGCAAUUAAAUGUGACUAAUGCAAUAUCAAUCAUAGUCUUGCCACAGUCGAACAACGGCAUAAAAAAAACAUAAACUCUGAUGUUGUUGUUUGAUUGUGGUCACGUACUUUUUUUAGAUGUAUCUUAGACUAAUGUUAUUCUUGGAAUUAUUGUAUUUGUGCAGUUGGAUGAUUGGGUGCUAUGCCGAAUUUACAAGAAAUCAAAAUGUGCACUAACUUCAACAGAAUCAUCAGAAACUAUGGUAGGUGAAGUGGAACAUGCAGAAGAGACACAAUUCCAAGAAACCCUAUUUCCAAUCACCAAAAACACAACCUCACCUCUUCAAAACACACUCAUGUCUCAAAAAUCAGUGUCCUUUUCAAACCUAUUAGAUGCUAUGGACUACUCCAUGUUAAGCAGCUUCUUAUCUGAAAAUUCCAACAACCCAUCAGGAAUUGGAACAAGUUCAGGUUUCAACACUGAAAAUUUUAACCAACAACAAUCUUCCCAUAUCAACACUUGCAACAAUUACAUGUCUCAGAAGAAUCCUCAAUCCAACACUUUAAAGCACCAGCUUUCAAACGUAGAUGAAGACAUGUUAUACCCAUCAAAGAAGUACUUGAGUUCCUCUUGCAAUUUUCCUAACAUCAAUUCUCAGUAUGAAAACUACCUUAUGAAGCAAUCUUUGAUGAAUCAACAAUUGCUUUUAGGUCCUCAUCAUCAAUAUCAAGGCUAAUCCAAAAUACCACAAAAAUUAAGUGGUACCAAAAAAAAAAAGAUUAUGAAAUAGAAAAGUUAAGUAAGAUUUCUAGAAGUUGGGCCCACCAAAUUACACCAAUGUCAUCAUUAAGUAAGGAUUGCUAAUUUAAUAGUAGUGCACAAAAUAUAGUGUGUUCUAUUUUGUCCAUUUUAAUUUUUUUUCUAGGAAUUGAAGGAGGGGUUAGGACCUAUUUGGUAUGGAGUCAAAAGAUUCCUUAGUUGAAGACUGAAUAAAUUGUGAAAAGAAAAUAUCAAAGUUUUAUGACCUAUCAGAAAUAGUAGUGUACAAAAUGUUAAUUUGUUUGUGUGUUGUUGGGGUUGGCAAGUUAGCUUUAUGAUAUAUAUUCUGUAGAUAAGUAUUGUACUGAUUGUGAUGAUAUUUUUCAUUCUUUUCAUGGAAAAAGAAGCUACAAAUUUUUCUUUUGGAUUGUAACUAUUCGCCAUUUCAGUAUGUUAAUCUUUAUUGUUUUUUGAUGUGGAUCCAACCAAGAAUUCACUGUACAAGAAUCUUUGACUUAGUAUAAAUUUCUUAAAUUAGAUAUAAAAUGAAGGAAAAUUUAAGAUGAUAAGAUUAAGAUUGAAUUGGGGAUCCGUCACAAGAAUAAAAUGUUAUUUGAUAAGCAACUAGAAUUGCUUCAUCUAAACACUUAAAAGGAGAAAAACUAUCUCUUACAUCAAUACACAGAUUGAAAAUAAAAUACUCAUGUAUUAACCAAAUGAAAAAUAAUACUAACAAAAUUGUUAUUUAUACAUACACAUAUGAGGCACCUAUAAAUCUCAAUAAUAAGCAAAAAAAAGGCUCAAUAAGGAAUUAGAAAAACAAUGAACAUUAUACAUCUUCAAAAUAAAACAAUUUAAAUUUUAAACUAAACAUUAAUACAAACAAACAAAGGAAUAUUAAAAGGAUAUUUGACUUCACGUUUAGUGUGGAUAAAGCAUGUUGUCCCAAUGUCCCUGCCAUUUUUGGCUGUUGUUAUUCACAUGCUUUGAACCAUUACAUACAAUAUUGAAGCAAUGUAAAUGGAACCUAUAAACAAAUUUACCAAUUGAAUUUUCAAUUAUAAAUUUAUACCAGCUUCGUACAAUUUUUUCACUAUUUUAUCUUAUCUUCCUAAUGCCAAGUCCAACUUAUUUGUGUUACAUUUACACUAGAGUGUAUAAUAGCCAAGUCCAACUUUGCUACAUAUCACUUACCUCGUGUGAAUGCACACACACCAAACAAAAAUACCAACUUGACACAAAAAAUAAGAUUAAUUCUUCUUUUUCUACCAAAAACAGUGUAUGCAUUCGCAAUAUUAAUCAGUUGUAUGGAUAUAUAACUAACAAGAUUUCAUCAUUUUUAUAUUAAUAUUGAUAUUUUAGCAAAUAAUGUUAUGGUAUAUAUAAAUAGUGAGAUGUGAUUUUAUACUCUACGUACAAUGAGCAUACUUUUGUGUGAUGUAUGGCUAGAAAAUAGUGGACACUUAUAUUAUUGAGAUUUCAAUAUUUAAUUACGAGCACGUACGAUGUUUAAUUUAUUUUAACUAGGAUAACAUCAUCCACUCGAUUUUGUACUUUGGCAUCAUUAUAAUGUUCCAUGAGGAUAAUCCUUAUCUCUAUAACUGCUUCUCACGUGUUCUUGAUUAAUUAUUCUUAGUUGUUAGUGUGGAUUUUGACUCUUUAUUAACAACAUUGAUCGAAUAAGGACUAAGAACACAAUGUUAUUGCUAGCAUGUGGUCACCAAACUCCAAUUAUUUAAUCUGCUUUAUCUCUUCAACAUCCUUAACGCAUGCAAACUUUGGUUAAUAAAGUAGCCUCCUAAAUCCAAAAAUAUGCAAUUAUUCUUAUUAUAUUGCACUUUCAAGAAAGAAAUUAAUAAACAAAAGACGAAAAGUUAAUUAGCACAUGAAACUUAAUAAUAAACGAAAAGUAAGAGGUCUUUACACAAUUCACACUCACACACAAAGUAGUUGCGAACGUAAUUAACAAACGUGUGUAACUUAGCAAUCAUGUGUGUAUGAGAAGACUAGUAGAUAAGGUGGUUAAAGACUUGAAGUGUCCUAUGCAUGGAGUGGCAGCUUCAUGUGGAGGGAUGGUUUAUAAAUUAUAUAUAAGUUGGUGAGCAAGUAUGAGACAUUUGUUAUGUACAUAACUAAUUCUUUUAAGUUUCUAUGUUCUUGUUGUGAGUUAGGGGAAUGAUGGUGUAUGUAAUUGGGGAUUUUGAUUAUACUUGGGUUUGGGAGGUGUGGGGAUCUGAUAUAUUUUGAUAUAUACAGUUAGAAUCAGAUGUGGAGUCAAAUUUUUAAUCUAAAGGUCUAUUAUUGUUUGCUAAAUUUACUCGCCAUAUCUUUUAUCACUUGAUUUCCACUCGAUUUUUUGUCAAGAAUAAAAGUAUGUGUAUUUUCCUCCUCACAACAAUUCUUGAUUUUUAUUUUUCCCUCUAUAAUGAAAAUUCGCAGCAAUCCAAUUUAAAGGGGUUUCUAUUCUACGAAAACCAUAAGUUAAUUAACAACUGUUCAAUCAUGGAUUCAGGGUUAAACACCUAAAAUUCAAUCGAUAGAAGCAAACUCAUCCAAUCCAAAAUACUCUAUGUUAACUGCCGUCAUCUACAAUUGGGGUCUUUAUCACAAAUUUUGCAUAAGUUCUUAAAUGUAUACGAAAAAUUAACCAAGAUGGAAAGGAGAUACAUACAAAAAUAAUAUCAAAGGGUGUGUGGGGAUAAUUAAUCUACAAAUUUUUCGGAAGAAAACGAGGAGUAUCAUGACUAAGGGUGUAAGCGGUUUGGAUAAAACCAAUGAAUUUGAAAGUUCAAGCUAAGAAAGUAUCCGAUCUUGUCUUGUUCGGUUCAAAACUGAAUCAAUCCAAUCUAAAUUGUACUUCUUUGGUUCGGUUCUCGAUUUUUUAUUUAAACUCCAAGGAACCGUUGGACCGAACCGAUGCUAACCUCACUCUCCAUUUUUGAAAUAUUAUCCCUCCUCACACACACACACACUUAUGAUUAGGCUCAAAAUUAAAGUCCAACAUAAACUACUCUUUAAUCCAUUCACCUACUUCAAUCAUCAUCUCAUCUCAUCACUCAAACUCUAUUUUAUUUCUUCUAAAAAAGAAACCCUAGUCAUUAACCACACCUAACCCAGCGUUUUUCACCACUGCAGUGAUCGUCCAUCUGUUGGUUGGUUUUAUCAUAUUUAUGUCUUCAAACUUUUCAAAAGAUAUUGUAUCGUGAAGCAAAUAGGUGCGCUGAUACGUUAGCUAAUAUUGGAUGUAUCAUGGGAAAUGAGAUGAUGUUUUAUGAGUCGUGUCCGACUCAAAUUAACUAUUUGUUAACUGCUGAUCAAGCGGGGGUUACUUUUCCGCGCUUGAUUAAGAUGUAAUUUCUUUUUCCGGGCUUCGGUCCUCCCAUUCAUAAAAAAAAAAGAUAUCUUUUCUAUGAUACCAUUGGUUUUUUUUUUUACAGAAUUAUAUACUCCCUCCGUUCCAUUUUAAUUGAGUCAUUGACUCAUUUCACACUUAUUAAGAAAAAAUGUAUAAGUGAAAGAGAGAGAAAAAUGGUUUUGAGUGCCCUUAUCAACUAUUGGUGCAUUCUUUUUUGUCAUAAAUGCAAAGUAGAAUAUAUUGAAUUGUGAGUGGUGAAAGUAUUAUUAAUUAGUGUUAUAAUUGAAAAAAAGUACUCCCUCCGUCCCUUAAUAAAUGACACAGUUGAUUCCAUUACGCAUUCUAAUGCAUAAUUUUGAGCUUAAAUAUCUUGAAUAAUAUGUUAGAAAAAAUUAUGAAAAUUUGAUAUUUUGAAAAUACUCAUCAAGACGAAUCUAAUGACAUCUUAUACUUAUCUAUGUAUAUUAGUAGAAAAAUAUGGUCAAAGUAAGCUAGGUCAAACUUGCAAAUUUUCAAAUAGGUCAUCUAUUGCGGGAGGGAGGGAGUAAUUAAUAUUGUAUUGGAAAGUGAAAUGAGUCAAUUUUUAUGGGACAAUAUUUUUUUUUGCAAAUGGUUCAGAUUAUAGGACAGAUGGAGUACCAUUGUUUAAUGAAGACUAGAAUUAAUGUGACGAAUGAUUAAGCUAGCAAAUCCUCCAAUGCUCGCUAUAUGAUAAUUUGCACCUUUUUCCUAUAAAUGUUUCGCUAUUCCAACGAUAGAUUAACAAAUUAGUUCUAAUCAAUCUCUUGAAUAAGAACUCUCUUCUAAAAUCUCAAUCCCUUAAUCUCUUAGGCAAAAUCGAAAUUGUUGGAGGUUUUAAUGAUUUAUUAAUCUCUGAAUCAUAGCUUAAAAAUUGUUUAUCUCUACCUUAAUUAGUUAAAUUAAUCAGAUUACCUAGGUUAGAUUCAAACCCUAGGGCUAGUAUCAUUCAAAUUCUAUGAUCAAUUCAUAAAUUCAAGAUGCUAGGGUUAGUAGUCACUAGUCAGUCAUAAACAUAUAAAAAGCAUUAAACUCAAGAUAAACAAAAUAAGACUAGAUCUUCAAUGAUAAUCAAGAGAGUUCAUGCAAAGUACAAGGCCAUAUAGCUUUCAAAAGAUUCAUCUUGACUUAAUCACAAGAAAUUUAGUUACUUAUAGCUAAAGUAUAAACAAGUAAUUCAAAACAAGGAUUCAUUACAUGGAUUGGAGGGGUGACUAUGAGUUUUGAUGGUCUUUCGCCUAUUCUCCAGCUUUCUAUUCCAAAAACGUCAUUUUCUCCUUCAAAUUUCAAACCCUUGUCUUAGAAACACGUUUGCCUUUUAUAGAUUUUAAUUUUUCCUCACAAAAUCAUGUCCCAAUGCUUCCUAAUCAUGCCCCGAGUAUUGUUGAAUGAAAAGGCUCUUUCUAGACUUGAAAACAUGGCCCGAUUUAGUGAAAUUGUGGCUCGAUUUGUAAUUUCUUGUUGCUCUUUGAUUUCUAUCAAUUUCAGCUCUAGAGACUCCAAUAUUACACUAAAAUCGACGAAAAAUACAUAAAGAUCAACUAAUUUUUUUAUGGUGGUUGAGGUUCGAACCUGGACCUUGCAUAUAUCUUGGAUAUAACAAAACCAAGAUGACAUAGUGUCAUGAAUCACCAUAAUAUGAAGAUCAAAGUGAUUAUUUUUGAUUUUAUUGAGACGUUUUAGGUCGACUGAAUAAUAUGAAGAUGAAAGUGAAUAAAAUAUGACAAAAACCUAAAGACAAUCCACGUGUUAAAGCAGAUAUGCGUAUCAUCGAUUAUUCAUACAGAUUCUACGCAGUAUUUGGCCCCACACCAUAUUCCUUGAUUUCAUCAUCAUCGAUUUGUUUACAUAAUAAAAUCAAAAUUAAGCUUAACAACUAAGUAUCCAUCUUCUUCUCCCGAAUCAGAAAAAUGGAGUUCCCCUUCAAUCACAACACCUCCAACGUAACCCACACUCAUCACCACCGUCGUGACGACGACAACAACGAACAACAUUAUCCACCACCUGGUCACAACAAUUUAUCUUCCUUCAACCAACCACCACCACCACCACAUCAUCAACAACCACCUUUCUACCCUAACCCAUCAUACCCACCACCACCACAACAACAACCACAUCAACCCGAAACUCAAGUCUUCCACACCGGGCACGUGUCCCGUAAUGACAAUUUCAACAAUUACCCUCAACAACCACAACCUCACCAAGAAACUCAAGUGUUCCACACUGGACACGUGUCCCAUGAAAACUUCAACAGUUACCCUCAACCACCACCACCUCAAUCUCAUCAUCAACAACCCAGCUACGGCGCUGCGUACCCACCUGCACCACCAUCCGUACCGGAUCACACCUCCGCCCCAUUCCCAAACGCAACUGUUCACCAUGUUUCUCAUGAAACCCAUAACCCUCAUUUUCCUUCUUCCAACG
RNAcentral lists this long non-coding RNA (80114 nucleotides) under Medicago truncatula (barrel medic). RNAcentral describes it as "long non-coding RNA (MTRU_LNC005392)". The record is from RNAcentral. Lineage: Eukaryota; Viridiplantae; Streptophyta; Magnoliopsida; Fabales; Fabaceae.